Molecule: long non-coding RNA, 69937 nt
Filed under: Hordeum vulgare
Lineage: Eukaryota; Viridiplantae; Streptophyta; Magnoliopsida; Poales; Poaceae
Description: long non-coding RNA (HVUL_LNC006926)
Source: RNAcentral
CUAUAAGACUUUGUCCAGGCUUGUCCCUCGCUACAAAAGGGAUUGGGCCACUUUGCUGCACCGUUUCUACUUUUGUUACUUGUUGCUCGCUAUGAAUCAUCUCACCACACAAUCACUUGUUACCGACAAUUUCAGUGCUUGCAGAUAUUUCCUUGCUAAAAACCACUUGUCAGAUCCUUCUGCUCCUCGUUGGGUUCGACACUCUUACUUAUUGAAAGGACUACGAUUGAUCCCCUAUACUUGUGGGUCAUCAAGACUCUUUUCUGGCGCCGUUGCCGGGGAGUGAAGCUCCUUUGGUAAGUGGAACUUGGUAAGGAAACAUUCAGAUAGUGUGCUGAAAUUUAUUGUCACUUGUCACUACGGAUACUAAUCCUUUGAGGGGCUUGUUCGGGGUAUCUUCACCUCGAACGGAAGCACAAAGAGUUGAUCCUCAACCUGCUGCACCUACUGAAAAUAUUUGCUUUGAAUUUCCUUCAGGUAUGCUUGAGAAACUGCUGGCUAAUCCUUUUACAGGAGAUGGAACAUCACAUCCAGACUUGCAUCUAAUGUAUGUAGAUGAAGUUUGUGGUUUAUUUAAGCUUGCAGGUGUGCCCGAGGUUGAGUUCAAGAAGAAGGUCUUUCCUUUAUCAUUGAAGGAUAAGGCGUUGACAUGGUAUAGGCUAUGUGAUGAUACUGGAUCAUGGGACUACAAUCGGUUGAAAUUGGAAUUUCAUCAAUAGUUCUAUCCUAUGCAUUUAGUACAUUGUGAUUGGAAUUAUAUUUAGAAUCUUUGGCCUCGUGACAGAGAAAGCAUCCCUCAAGCUUGGGGGAGGCUUAAAUCAAUGCUAUAUUGAUGCCCCAAUCAUGAGCUCUCGAGAGAAAUUAUCAUUCAGAACUGCUAUGCUCAGCUUUCUCAUGAUGAUCGCACCAUGCUUGACACUUCUUAUACCGAUUCUUUUAUGAAGAGAGAUAUUGACUUCAAUUGGGAUUUAUUGGAGAGAAUUAAACACAACUCUGAAGAUUGGGAGCUUGAAGAAGGUAAGGAGUCAGGUAUGAAUUUCAUGUUUGAUUGCGUUAAAUCCUUUGUUGAGACAAAUACCUUUAGUGAUUUUAGCGCUAAGUAUGGACUUGACUCUGAGAUAGUAGCUUCAUUGUGUGAAUCAUUUGCUGCUCAUAUUGAUCUCCCCAAAGAGAAGUGGUUUAAAUAUCAUCCUCCUUUAAAAGUCAAUGUAGUUAAACCCACUCCAGUUCAAGAGAAAGUCAUUGCCUAUAAUGAUCCUAUUGUUCCCAGUGCUUACAUUGAGAAACCACCUUUCCCUGUUAGGAUAAAGGAUCAUUCUAAAGCUUCAACUGUGAUACGUAGAGGCUAUAUUAGAACACCUACACCCCCUGAGAAAAUUAGAGUUGAACCUAGCAUUUCUAUUAUAAAAGAUCUUCUCUUCGACGAUGUUGAGGGACGUAAUAUUCACUUCUGUGAAGAUGCUGCUAGAAUUGCUAAACCUCUCGCUAGAGACAAACAUAGGCAUGUUGUUGGCAUGCCUGUGGUUUCUGUUAAGAUAGGAGAUCAUUGUUACCAUGGUUUACGUGACGUGGGUGCUAGUGUUAGUGCAAUACCUCAAUCCUUAUAUGAUGAAAUCAAAGAGGAGAUUGCACCUAUUGAGAUAGAACCUAUAGAUGUCACUAUUCAGCUUGCCAAUAGAGAUACUAUCUGCCCUAUGGGAAUUGUUAGGGAUGUUAAAGUCUUGUGUGGUAAAACGAAGUAUCCUGCUAAUUUUCUCGUUCUUGCUACCGCACAAGAUAGCUUUUGUCCCAUCAUAUUUGGUAGACCUUUUCUCAACAUGGUCAAUGCUCAUAUUGAUUGUGAGAAGCAAACUGUCACUUUUGUCUUUGAAGGUGUGUCACAUGAGUUCAAUUUCUCUAAGUUUGGUAGACAACCUCAUGAAAAGGAGUUGCCUAGUAGGGAUGAAACUAUUGCCUUAGCCUCUAUUGUCGUGCCUCCUACUGAUCCCUUAGAGCAAUACUUGCUUGAGCAUGAAAAUGAUAUGCAUAUGGAGGAAAGGGAUGAGAUAGAUAGAGUUGUCUUAGAACAAUAUCCUAUCCUUAAGAAUAACUUGCCUGUUGAACUGCUUGGGGAUCCACCCCCACCAAAGGGUGAUCCUAUGUUCGAACUUAAAAAGUUGCCUGAUACUCUUAAUUAUGCCUAUCUUGAUGAAAAGGAGAUAUAUCCUGUUAUUAUUAGUGCUAGCCUCUCGAAGCAUGAAGAAAAUAAGUUACUAAAAACUCCGAGGAAGCACCAUGCUGCUAUUGGAUAUACUCUUGAUGAUCUUAAGGGCAUUAGUCCUACCCUAUGCCAGCACAAGAUUAAAACUGAUCCUGAUUUCAAACUAGUUGCUGACCAUCAAAGGAGAUUGAAUCCUAAGAUGAAAGAAGUAGUAAGAAAAGAAAUACUAAAGUUACUAGAAGCAGGUAUCAUCUAUCCUGUUGCUCAUAGAGAUUGGGUGAGUCCGGUGCAUUGCGUCCCUAAGAAGGGAGGCAUUACCGUUGUCCCUAAUGAUAAGGAUGAAUUGAUCCCACAGAGUAUUAUUACUGGCUAUAGGAUGGUGAUCGAUUUUAGGAAACUGAAUAAAGCCACUAGGAAAGAUCAUUACCCUUUUCCUUUUAUCGACCAACGCUAGAAAGGUUGUCUAAACACACACACUUCUGAUUUCUAGAAGGUUAUUCUGGUUUCUCCCAAAUACCAGUUGCACAAUCUGAUCAGGAGAAAACCACUUUCACCUACCCUUUCGGUACCUUUGCCUUUAGACGUAUGCCUUUUGGCUUAUGUAAUGCACCUGCCACCUUUCAAAGAUGUCUGAUGGCUAUAUUCUCUGACUUUUGUGAAAAGAUUGUUGAGGUUUUCAUGGAUGACUUCUCCGUUUAUGGGUCUUCUUUUGAUGAUUGCCUCAGCAACCUUGAUCGAGUCUUACAGAGAUGUAAAGACACCAAUCUUGUCUUGAAUUGGGAGAAGUGCCACUUUAUGGUUAAUGAAGGCAUCGUCUUAGGACAUAAAAUUUCUGAAAGAGGUAUUGAAGUCGAUAAGGCUAAGGUUGAUGCAAUCGAGAAAAUGCCAUACCCCACAGAUAUCAAAGGUAUAAGAAGUUUCCUUGGUCAUGCUGGUUUCUAUAGAAGGUUCAUCAAAGACUUCUCUAAGAUUUCUAGGCCUCUUACCAAUCUCUUACAAAAGGAUAUUCUUUUUGUUUUUGAUGAUGAUUGUGAGGAAGCCUUCUAAAUACUUAAGAGGUCUUUGAUAACUGCACCUAUUGUUCAACCACCUGAUUGGAACUUAUCUUAUGAGAUCAUGUGUGAUGCUAGUGAUUAUGCUGUUGGUGUUGUCCUAGGGCAAAGAGUCGAUAAGAAGUUGAAUGUUAUUCACUAUGCUAGUAAAACUCUAGACAGUGCCCAAAGAAACUAUGCCACUAUGGAGAAGGAGUUUUUAGCAGUCGUAUUUGCAUGUGAAAAGUUCAGGUCUUACAUAGUUGAUUCCAAAGUCACUAUUCACACUAAUCAUGCUGCUAUUAAGUACCUCAUGGAGAAGAAGGACGCUAAACCUAGACUUAUAAGAUGGGUUCUCUUGCUACAAAAAAUUGAUUUGCACGUUGUCGACAGAAAGGGUGUUGAUAACCCUGUAGCAGAUAACUUGUCCAGGUUGGAGAACGUUCUUGAUGACCCACAACCUAUUGCGAUAGCUUUCCCGAUGAGCAAUUGAAUGUCAUGAACACCUCACGCAGUGCACCAUGGUAUGCUGAUUAUGCAAACUAUAUCGUUGCCAAAUAUAUACCACCUAGUUUCAUGUACCAGCGAAAGAAGAAAUUCUUCUUUGACUUGAGACAUUACUUCUGGGAUGAUCCUCACCUUUAUAAGGAAGGAGUAGAUGGUGUUAUUAGACAUUGUGUACCUGAACAUGAACAGGGACAAAUCCUACAGAAGUGUCACUCCGAGGCCUACGGAGGACACCAUGCGGGAGAUAGAACUGCACACAAGGUAUUGCAAUCAGGUUUCUAUUGGCCCACUCUCUUCAAGGAUGCACGUAAGUUUGUCUUGUCUUGUGAUGAAUGUCAAAGAAUAGGUAAUAUUAGCAAACGUCAGGAAAUGCCUAUGAACUAUUCACUUGUCAUUGAACCAUUUGAUGUUUGGGGCUUUGAUCAUAUGGGACCUUUUCCAAAAUCCAAUGGGUAUACUCACGUCUUAGUUGAUGUUGAUUACGUCACUAAGUGGGUAGAAGCUAUCCCCACUAGUAGUGCUGAUCACAACACCUCUAUCGAGAUGCUGAAAGAAGUUAUCUUCCCUAGAUUUGGAGUCCCUAGAUAUCUAAUGACCGAUGGUGGUUCACACUUCAUUCAUGGUGCUUUCCGUAAAACGCUUGCUAAGUACGAUGUCAACCAUAGAAUUGCGUCUCGCUAUCACCCUCAGUCCAGUGGUCAAGUAGAGCUAAGUAAUAUAGAUAUUAAACUGAUUCUACAAAAGACUGUCAACAGGUCUAGAAAGAAUUGGUCUAAGAAACUCGAUGAUGCACUGUGGGCUUAUAGAACUGCCUAUAAGAAGCCCAUGGGCAUGUCUCCGUACAAAAUGGUGUAUGGGAAAGCAUGUCAUUUACCUCUUGAGCUAGAGCAUAAAGCUUAUUGGGCAAUCAAAGAGCUCAACUUUGAUUUCAAACUUGCCGGUGAGAAGAGGUUAUUUGAUAUUAGCUCGCUUGACGAGUGGAGAACUCAGGCAUAUGAGAAUGCCAAGCUGUUCAAAGAGAAGGUUAAGAGGUGGCAUGAUUAGAGGAUACAAAAGCGUGAGUUCAAUGUAGGUGAUUAUGUAUUGCUAUAUAACUCUCGUUUAAGAUAUUUUGCAGGCAAGCUUUUCUCUAAAUGGCAAGGUCCCUAUGUUGUUGACGAAGUAUAUAGUUCUGGUGCUAUCAAGAUCAACAACACGGAAGGUAAUUGUCCGAGAGUGGUAAAUGGGCAGAGAAUCAAGCAUUAUAUCUCAGGUACUCCCAUAAAUGUUGAAAGCAAUAUCAUCAAUACCAUAACUCCGGAAGAAUACCUAAGGGACAUUUAUCAGCCUAUUUCAGACUCCGAAAACGAAGAGGUAUGUGAUUCGGUAAGAAAACAGAGUCCAAAACUUUUCUAGUAGGAAAUUUUCUCUGUUUUGGAAUAUUUGAAAAAAUACAAAAAAUGGAAGUAGUCCGGAAAGUGCGCGAGGAGGCGACAAGCCUGUACGACGCGGGCCCACCCCCUGGCCGCGCCGUGAGGGCUUGUGGCCACCUCGUGCACCUCCCGGACUCCGUUUUCGUACGGGGUACUUCUUCUGGUCUGGAAAAAUCAUUACAUAUAAUUCUGUUUGGUCUGACCCCUACAUCACGCAUAUUUCCUUUGUUUUUUGUUUCGAGCCUGUUUGUGUUGCAGAUCUAGAUCGCUAUGAAUUUCCCAAAAGCUCCGAAAGACAAGAUCUUCGAGAAGGUCAUCAAUCCCUACCUCACGGAAGUGCUGCAACACCCUCAAUCUAUCGAGAUGUGUGAGGGGAUGUUGCACAUCCGUGAUGUUGAGGGGCCUAAUAAGACCGGAAGCGUGGAUACGAGGCUCGAAGCAAUGGAGCAACAAGUCUUCAAGUGCCAAGGGAUGGUGGAGCGUGGACUCAACGCCAACCACAUGAUGAUCACGGAGUUCACCAACAAGAACAUGAUUGCUGCCAAUGACAUUGGGAAGCAUCUCUCCAGGCUCUAUGACAGGAUUGAUUAACUCCAGGCCCAGAUCUAUGACCUGCAGAAUCAAAACUGUGAGUAUGAGUAUAGAUUUAAAUCAAUACGGUUGGCUGCAUAUUUGAGGAUCCCGGAGACUCGUUCAUCUUUCCAUGAUGGAGCACCUAAGCCUUGGAAUAUGGAGGAUCAAACUCAUGUUGGAACAACUCCACCAUCACCACGAAAGGAAGACAACUGAGCAUUGGUAUGGGCAAUCCCCUUGGCUUGUGCCAAGCUUGGGGGAGUUGCCCCGGUAUCAUAUCACCAUCACAUCUUUUGCCUUUACCUUUGUUUUAGUUUUCCUUUUCAGUUUUUCUUUUUCUCUAGUAGUUUAAAAGUCUUAGUGUUUUAGUCUUGAGUCUUGCUUUGUGUCACCCCCGAUGUAUUCUUGCUCGUGAGCCAUAUAAUAAAGAGUGCCUUAGUUGAAGGGCUUUGCCUCUUGCCAUCAUCAAAAGAGUGAGAAUAGAACAAAAGCAUGAAAGAUCAUGUAAUGAUCUUAUGGAAAGUGAUGGCUUCACAUAUAAAAAGAAUGAGGACUGAAACUUGUUGAGGGUAGGCAAACGUAGACCUUGGUCAUUGUUGCAAUUAAUAGGAAGUGAUAAGGAAUGAGAGGUUCACAUAUAAAUAUAUCAUCUCUGACACCAUCUAUGAUUGUGACCACUCACUAAACUAUUGCAUGCCUAGAAGUAGACGUUGGACAGGGAAGACAACGUAAUGAAUUGUGUUUGCUUGUCUCUAAACAAUGUUAUAUGAUUAGAGAUCCCUUAGCAUGUGACGAUUGCUUCCACCUCAUAUUAGACAAAACUCCCGCACCAAGUAGAGAUACUACUUGUGCAUCCAUAAACCUUCAAACCAGUUUUGCCAUGAGUGUCCACCAUACCUACCUAUGGAUUGAAUAAGAUCCCUCAAGUAUGUUGUCAUCGGUGCAAGCAAUAAAAAAUGCUCUCUAAUAUGUAUGAUCUAUUAGUGUGUGGAAAAUAAGCUUUAUACCAACCUGUGAUGAGGAAGAUAUAAUAGCGACAGACUGCAUAAUAAAGUUCUUUAUCACAGAAGGCAAUAUAAAGUGACGUUCCUCCGCACUAAGAGGACACACAUCCAAACCUCAAAAGCGCAUUAGAACCUCUGCUUCCCUCUGCGAAGGGCCUAUCUUGUACCUUUACUUUUUGUCCUUGAAAGAGUCAUGGUGAUCUUCACCAAUUCCUUAUUUCGCCUUUAUCUUGGCUAACGUCAUAUGCUUGGGAAAGAUCUAUAUCCAUAUGUCAACUUGGAGGUAGGCAUUCAUGAAUUAUUAUUGUUGACAUUACCCUUGAGGUAAGCAGUUGGGAGGCAAAACUGUAAGCCCCUAUCUUUCUCUGUGUCCAGCUGAAACUUUGGUCACAUGAGUACCACGUGAGUUGUAGAAAUUGUAGAGAACGAAAGAAUGAUUGAGUAUGUGGCUUUGCUUUACAAGCUCUUAUUUGACUCUUUCUGAUGUUGUGAUAAAUUGCAAUUGCUUCAAUGACUAAAGGCUAUCGGUUGUUACUUCUCGGUAAGGUUGAUCCAUGCUUUACUUUGUGAAGGAAUUAUCACUUUAGCUUGAGAGAUUAUAUGUUGGUAUUGCUGUUCUGAUCUUGAUCAUGAUGCAUGCAUAUUCGUAUCUUGUUUUGUCGACACCUCUCUCCCUAAACAUGUGGACAUAUUUAUUGAGCUAGGCUUUCGCUUGAGGACAAGCGAGGUCUAAGCUUGGGGGAGUUGAUACGUCCAUUUUGCAUCAUGUUUUCAUGUUGAUAUUUAUCGCUUCUUUGGUUGUUAUUUCACUUCACGCUACAAUUCUUAUGCCUUUUCUCUCUUAUUUUGCAAGGUUUACAUGAAGAGGGAGAAUGCCGGCAACUGGAAUUCUGGCCUGAAAGUGGAGCAAAGUUGAGAUACCUAUUCCGCGCAACUCCGAACGCCGUAAAAAUCAACGAGGAUUUUUUCCCGAUUUAUCAAAAAUACUGGGCCAAAGAAGUGCCAGAGGGGCACCAGGGGGUGCCCACAAGCCUGCACGGCGCGGCCACCCCCCCCAGGCUGCGCCAUGGGGGCUUGUGGGCAGCCCACUGGCCCACUUGCCCCCCUCUUUUGCUAUAUGGAGGGUUUCGUCUAGAAAAAAAUAAGGAGGAGCUUUUUAGUGGUUUCGCUGCUGCCACGAGGCGGAACUUGAGCAGAACCAAUCUAGAGCUCCGGCAGGACGAUCCUGCCGGGGAAACUUCCCUCCCGGAGGGGGAAAUGAUUGCCAUCAUCAUCACCAACACUCCUCUCAUCGGAGGGGACUCGUCACCAUCAACAUCUUCAUCAGCACCAUCUCAUCUCCAAACCCUAGUUCAUCACUUGUAACCAUUCUCCAUCUCGCGACUCCGAUUGGUACUUGUAAGGUUGCUAGUAGUGUUGAUUACUCUUUGUAGUUGAUUCUAGUUGAAUUACUUGGUGGAAGAGUUUAUGUUCAGAUCCUUGAUGCUACUCAUUACCUCUCCGGUCAUCAAUAUGAUUAUGCUUUGUGAGUAGUUACUUUUGUUCCUGAGGACAUGGGAUAAGUCAUGCUAAUAGUAGUCAUGUGAAUUUGGUAUUCGUUCGAUAUUUUGAUGUGUUGUAUGUUGUUUUUCCUCUAGUGGUGUUAUGUGAACGUCGACUACAUAACACUUCACCAUUAUUUGGGCCUAGAGGAAGGCAUUGGGAAGUAAUAAGUAGAUGAUGGGUUACUAGAGUGACAGAAGGUUAAACCCUAGUUUAUGCGUUGCUUCGUAAGGGGCUGAUUUGGAUCCACUAGUUUAAUGUUAUGGUUAGGCUUUGUCUUAAUUCUUCUUUCGUAGUUGCGGAUGCUUGCAAGAGGGGUUAAUCAUAACUGAGAUUCUUAUCCAGGUAAGGGCAGUAGCCAAGCGCCGGUCCACCCACAUAUCAAACUAUCAAAGUAACGAAAGCGAAUCAUAUGAACAUGAUGAAACUAGCAUGACAGAAAUUCCCAUGUGUCCUCGGGAGCGUUUUUCCUCCUAUAAGACUUUGUCCAGGCUUGUCGCUUGCUAUAAAAGGGAUUGGGCCACUUUGCUGCACCGUUGCUACUUUUGUUACUUGUUGCUCGCUAUGAAUCAUCUCACCACACAAUCACUUGUUACCGACAAUUUCAGUGCCUCCAGAUUUUUCCUUGCUGAAACCACUUGUCGGAUCCUUCUGCUCCUCGUUGGGUUCGACACUCUUACUUAUCGAAAGGAAUACGAUUGAUCCCCUAUACUUGUGGAUCAUCAUUCACCCACCGUAAUACUUGCUAUUUUGAGAGAAGCCUCUAGUGAACACUAUGGCCCCCAGGGUCUACUCCACACCAUAUUUUCAGCCUUACACUUUUUUACUUUGUUGCACUUUCCGCCUUCAGAUCUCACUUUGCAAACAAUCUUGAAGGGAUUGUAAACCCCUUUGAAGCGUUGGGUGCAAGCUUGUUUGUGUUUGCACAGGUACUCUGGACUUGACGAGACCCUCCUUCUGGAUCGAUACCUUGGUUCUCAAGCUGAGGGAAAUACUUACUGCUCAUGUGCUGCAUCACCCUUUCCUAUUCAAGGGAAAAACCAAUGCCAGCCCAGCCUCCGUCAACGUGUCAAUUUCUAGCGCUGUUGUCUGUGGGAUAGCAGAAGAAAUUCUGGCGCCGUUGCCAGGGAGGAAGAUCAAGUUAAGGACUCAUCCAAGUAGGUGUCGCAAACUCAUCUCUUGCAUUUACUUUGUUUGCCAGUUGCGUCUCGUUUUCCUCUCCUCCACUUCACCAAUUUUCCUUUUUCGUUCGCCCUUUUUCUCGCCUGCUCUUUGUUUGCCUGUGUGCUUGCUUGCUUGUUGAAGUCACCAUGAACGAAAAUACCAAACUUUGUGACUUCUCGAAUACUAAUAAUAAUGAUUAUAUUAGUACUCCGAUUGCUCCCGCCACUAGUGCGGAGUCAUCGAAAUCAAUGCCGCUUUGCAGAAUCUUGUUAUGAAAGAGCAAUUCUCUGGCCUUCCUAGUGAAGAUGCCGCAUCCCAUCUCAAUACCUUCAUUGAGCUUUGCGAUAUGCAAAAGAAAAAAGAUGUGGAUAAUGACGUGAUUAAAUUGAAGCUUUUUUCCUUUCUCGUUGCGAGAUCGCGCAAAAACUUGGUUUUCUUCUUUGCCCAAAAAUAGUAUCGAUUCUUGGGAUAAGUGCAAAGAUGCUUAUAUAUCCAAGUAUUUUCCGCCGGCUAAGAUCAUCUCUCUCCGUAAUUAUAUCAUGAAUUUCAAGCAACUUGAUCAUGAACAUGUUGCACAAUCUUGGGAGAGAAUGAAAUUAAUGAUUAGAAAUUGUCCAGCUCAUGGCUUGAGUCUUUGGAUGAUUAUUCAAAUCUUUUACGCUGGCUUGAAUUUCGCUUCUAGAAAUAUCUUGGAUUCCGCUUCAGGUGGAACGUUCAUGGAAAUCACGUUAGGAGAAGCCACAAAACUCUUAGACAACAUCAUGACAAACUACUCUCAGUGGCACACUGAAAGGUCACCUACUAGUAAGAAGGUGCACGCUAUAGAAGAAAUUGACUCAUUGAGUGCUAAGAUGGUUGAGUUGAUGAAUUUGGUUGCUAGUAGAAGUGCUCCUUUAGAUCCUAAUGAUAUGCCCUUGUCUUCUUUGAUUGAGAGUAGCAACGCUAGCUUGGACGUUAAUUUUGUUGGUAGGAAUAACUUUGGCAACAACAAUGCUUUUAGAGGAAACUAUGUUCCUAGGCCUUUUACUAGUAACUCCUGUAAUAAUUUUGGCAACUCCUACAACAAUAAUCAUGGAAAUUAUAAUAGAUUACCCUCUGAUCUAGAGAGUAAUAUCAAAGAGUUCAUCAACUCGCAAUUUUUUUUCAAUUCGUCCAUAGAAGAAAAACUACUCAAAAUUGACGAUUUGGCUAAGAGCGUUGAUAGAAUGUCUAGUGAUGUUGAUGCUUUGAAAGUUAGAUGUGCUCCUCCCAAAAUCAACAUGGAUGAAACUUUGAAAGCUUUGUGUGUUUCCAUGAUUGAAAGCCAAGAAAUAACCGCCCAAAUUCGUGCUAGACAUGAAUGGCUUAAAAAGGCGUGUUCUCGUGAUGAGAAUCACGAAGAUCUUAAAGUGCUCGGUGUGACUCCUAUUGAAUAUUUGUUUUCUUGUGUCAAACCUAAUGAUUAUGGGGCUGGAUAUGAAUCCACGUUGGUUGAAAAGUGCCCCAAAGAUUCAGAGUCCAUCUAUCUUGAUGCUAAAAGCAUUAAAAGUGGAGUAGAAGAUGUUAAAACUUUGAGUAGUAAUGAAAUUACUACCGUGGAUUUCAAGGAAUUCAAUUAUGAUAGUUGCUCCUUGAUUGAAUGCAUUUCUUUGAUGCAAUCCAUGUUAAACUCUUCACACGCUUAUAGCCAAAACAAGGCCUUUACCGAUCAUAUCGUCGAAGCUAUGAUAAAAUCUCUUGAAGAGAAACUUGAAUUGGAAGUCUCUAUCCCUAGAAAGCUUCAUGAUGAGUGGGAACCUACUAUCAAAAUCAAAAUCAAAAACUAUGAAUGCAAUGCUUUGUGUGAUUUGGGUGCUAGUGUUUCUGCGAUUCCAAAGUCUUUAUGUGAUAUUCUGGGUUUUAAUGAGAUUGAAGAGUGUUAUCUUAAUUUGCAUCUUGUUGAUUCUACUGUCAAGAAACCCAUGGGAAGGAUCAAUGAUGUUCUUAUUAUUGCACAUAGGAACUAUGUACCCGUGGAUUUCAUUGUGCUUGACAUUGAUUGCAAUCCUACAUGCCCUAUUAAUCUUGUUAGACCUUUUCUAAGGACUAUCGGUGCUAUCAUCGAUAUGAAGGAAGGGAAUAUUAGAUUUCAAUUUCCUUUAAGGAAGGGCAUGGAACACUUUCCUAGAAAGAAAAUAAGAUUGCCUUUUGAAUCCAUGAUGAGGGCCACUUAUGGUUUGAGCACCAAAGACGACGAUAUGUGAUUCUAUCGCUUUUAUGCCUAGCUAAGGGCGUUAAACAAUAGCGCUUGUUGGGAGGCAACCCAAUGAAUUUAUCUUUUUCUUUCUGUUUUGCUGCGUCCAUACUUUCAUAAUUCUGUUGUGAUUGUGUUUUUUGUGUUUCUUUUUGUGUUGGAGCCAAGCAAAGCCUUUAUGACUAGUCUUGGUAAUGGUUGAUUGAUCCUGCUGGAAAAAGCGAACUCUUUUCGCUCACGAGAUGAUUUUUCAUUUUUAUUCAGAAAGAGAUUUUGAGUUGAUUCUUUUUGCUGCUGAUUGAUAUACGUUUUUCCUAGGCCGUCGUAAUUGUUCAGAUUUUUUGAGGUACCAUAAGUAUACGAAGUAUACAGAUUGCUACAGACUGGUCUGUUUUGACAGAUUUUAUUUUUGUUGAGUUGGAUGCUUGUUUUGAUGAAACUAUGGUAAGUAUCGGGGGGUACUAGCCGUGUAAAAGUGAGAAUACAGUAGCCCAACAUCAAUAUAGGUAUAAUUCAAGUUUGCUACAGUACCAAAAGAAGUGAUAGUUUGUUUUCUUGUGGUAAUGUUAUCAUGAGUUUCUGUUUAAGUUUUGUGUUGUGAAGUUUUCAAGUUUUGGGUGAUGUUCUCAUGGACGAUGAGAUAAGGAGUGGAAAGAGCUCAAGCUUGGGGAUGCCCAAGGCAUCCCAAGCGAAAUUCAAGGACACCAAAAAGCCUAAGCUUGGGGAUGCCCCGGGAAGGCAUCCCCUCUUUUGUCUUCAAUCCAUCGGUAACAUUACUUGGAGCUAUAUUGUUAUUCACCACAUGAUAUGUGUUUUGCUUGGAGCGUCUUGUAUCAUAGGAGUCUUUUCUUUUUGUUGUGUCACAAUCAUCCUUUCUGCACACCUUUUUGAGAGAGAGAGAGAUAUGCACUCAUCGUGAUUUUGCUAAAAUGCUCAUAGUGCUUCACUUAUAUCUUUUGAGCUAAAUACUUUUGCUCUUGUGCUUCACUUAUAUCUUUUGAGCUAGACACUUUUGCUCUUGUGCUUCACUUAUAUCAUUAGAGCACGGCGGUGCGUGAUUUGGUAGUUGGCUUAUGCUAUGAAAGUAGUCCCAAAUGUGAUAGGUACCGAAAGAGGAUACAACAACCUCCAUCUUCAUGUGCAUUGAAUAGAAAGAGAAGUUUUGAUUCCUCUCAAUUAGUUUUGAGACGUGGAUUCGGUAAUAUUAAGAGUUAUGUUAGCAGGGUGUUGUGAAUCUAGAAAUACUUGUGUUGAAGUUAGUGAUUCCCGUAGCAUGCACGUAUGGUGAACCGUUAUGUUAGGAAGUCGGAGCAUAAUUGAUCUAUUGAUUGUCAUCCUUUGGGUUGAGGUCGGGAUCACGCGAUGGUUAACACCUACCAACCCUUCCCCUCGGAGUAGGCGUUUAGAACUUUGUUUCGAUUACUAAUAAAAACUUUUGCAACAAGUACGUGAGUUCUUCAUGACUAAUGUGACUCCAUGGUAUAGAUGCACUUUCACCUUCCACCAUUGCUAGCCUCUAUAGUGCCGCGUAAUUCUCGCCGUUGCACAAACGCACCAAAUUCCUUCCUCAAAACAGCCACCAUACCUACCUACUAUGGCAUUUUCAUAGCCAUUCCGAGAUAUAUUGCCACGCAACUCCCACCAUUCCGUCUCAUGAGUUGUGCCGUCACUCUCAUAUUGCCAUCGCUUGAUCGUAAGAUAGCUAGCAAGAUGUUUCAAUGUCAUACGCCAUGCUAGAUCGUUGCACAUCCCGGUACACUGCCGGAGGCAUUUCCUAUAGAUUCAUCAUCAUUUUGAGCUGUGAGUAAAUAAAAGUGUGAUGAUCAUCAUUGUUAGAGCAUUGUCUCAUGUGAAGGAAAUAAAAAAAAAGAGGCCAAAGAUACCCAAAAACAAAAAAAAAGGGAAGAAAAAAAAGGAAAAAAAAAGAGGCUUAAGAGCCCAAAAAAACAGAGAGGAAAAGAGAGAAGGGACAAUGCUACUAUCUUUUUCCACACUUGUGAUUCAUGAUAGCACCAUGUUCUUCAUGAUUGAGAGCUUCUUGCUUUGUCACUACCAUAUGCUAGUGGGAAUCUUCAUUAUAUAACUUGGCUUGUAUAUUCCAAUGAUGGGCUUCCUCAAAAUCGCCCUAGGUCUUCGUGAGCAAGCAAGUUGAUUGCACACCCACUAGUUCUAAUUUUGAGCUUUCACAUGCUUAUAGCUCUAGUGCAUCUCUUGUAUGACAAUCCCUACUCAUUCACAUUGAUAUCUAUUAAUGGGCAUCUCCAUAGCCUUUUUGAUACGCCUAGUCAAUGUGACCAUCUCCUCCCGUUUUGUCUCACAACCACCACCACACUCUAUUCCACCUAUAGUGCUAUAUCCAUGGCUCGCGCUCAUGUAUUGCGUGAUAGUUAUAAAAAGUUUGAGAAAGUAAGAGUGCGAAAACAAUUACUUGGCCAAUACUAGGGUUGUGCAUGAUUUACAUUUGUCGUGUGAAGAUGAUGGAGCAUAGCCACACUAUAUGAUUUUGUAGGGAUAACUUUCAUUGGCCUUGUUAUUUUGAAAGUUCAUGAUUACCUUGCUAGUUUGCUUGAAGUAUUAUUGUUUUCAUGUCAAUAUCAAACUAUUGUUUUGAAUCUUACGGAUCUGAACAUUCAUGCCAUGUGAAAGAAGUUGCAAAGGACAACUAUGCUAGGUAGCAUUCCACAUCCAAAAUUCAUUCUUUAUCACUUCCCUACUUGAGGACGAGCAGGAGUUAAGCUUAGGGAUGCUUGAUACGUCUCAAACGUAUCUAUAAAUUUUGAUGGUUUCAUGCUAUUAUCUUGUCAAACUUUGGAUGUUUUGUAUGCCUUUUAUAUAUUUUUUGGGACUAACUUAUUAACUCAGUGUCAAGUGCCAGUUCCUGUUUUUUCCAUGUUUUUGACCCCUUUCAGAGGAGAUUUUGAAACGGAGUCCAAACGGAAGAAAAUUCCCGAAAAUAUUUUUUCUCGAACGGAAGAAGAUCGGGAAGCUUGGGAGCCAAGGCAGGGGAGCCUCAGGGGCCCCACAAGCCCCCACCCCGCGGCCAGGGGGGAGGCCGCGCCAUCCAGGCUUGUGGGCCCCCUGGACGCCCUUUUCCCUAGGUCUUUCACCUAUAUAUUCCACUAAAUUCCAUAAAAAAAUCAGGAGAUCAUCGAAAGUACUUUUCCGCCGCCGCAAGCUUCUCUCUCCGCAAGAUCCCAUCUGGGGCACGUUCUGGUGCCCUGCCGGAGGGGAGAUUCGGAUACGGAGGGCUUCUUCAUCAACACCAUGACCUCUCCGAUGAUGUGUGAGUAGUUCACCAUAGACCUACGAGUCCAUAGUUAGUAAUUAGAUGGCUUCUUCUCUCUCUUGGAUCUUCAAUACAAAGUUGUCCAUGAUCUUCACGGAGAUCUAUCCGAUGUAAUCUUCUUUUGCGGUGUGUUUGUCGAGAUCUGAUGAAUUGUGGAUUUAUGAUCAGAUUAUCUAUGAAUCUUAUUUGAGUUUCUUCUGAUCUCUCUUAUGCAUGAUUUCAUAUCCUUGUAAUUCUCUUCAAGUUGUGGGUUUUGUCUUGCCAACUAGAUCUAUGAUUCUUGCAAUGAGAGAAGUUCUUGGUUUUGGGUUCAUACCGUACAGUGACCUCACCCAGUGAUAGAAGGAGUAGCGAGGGACGCAUCGUGUUGUUGCCAUCAAGGGUAAAAAGAUGGGGUUUUCAUCAUUUGUUUGAGAUUAUCCCUCUACAUCAUGUCAUCUUACUUAAAGCGGUACUCUGUUCGUCAUGAACUCAAUACACUAGAUGCAUGCUGGAUAGCGGUCGAUGUGUGGAGUAAUAGUAGUAGAUGCAGAAAGUAUCGGUCUACUUGUCUCGGACGUGAUGCCUAUAUGUAUGAUCAUUGCCUUAGAUAUCGUGAUGACUUUGCGCGGUUCUAUCAAUUGCUCGACAGUAACUUGUUCACCCACCGUAAUACUUGCUAUUUUGAGAGAAGCCUCUAGCGAACACUAUGGCCCCUCGGGUCUACUCCACACCAUAUUUUCAGCCUUACACUUUUUACUUCGUUGCACUUUCCGCCUUCAGAUAUCACUUUGCAAACAAUCUUGAAGGGAUUGACAACCCAUUUGAAGCGUUGGGUGUAAGCUUGUUUGUGUUUGCGCAAAUACUGUGCACUUGACGAGACCCUCCUUCUGAAUCGAUACCUUGAUUCUCAAACUGAGGGAAAUACUUACUGCUCCUCUGCUGCAUCAACCUUUCCUCUUUAAGGGAAAACCAAUGCAAGCUCAGCCUCCGUCAACGUGUCAAUUUCUCACGCCGUUGUUUGUGGGAUAGCAGUGGCGCACGGACUGAAGGGCGAGCCAUCAGAGGCGUGAGCAUACGGCAAACUCGAGCGCAAAAGUCGGUCCACUGGGUGCAAGUGAGGGUGGCUCGCUCUCGCAUUGGGGCCAGGGUGUGGGCGGGAUCUGCGGUCGGCUGUGCCACUAAUGGGGUGAUCACAGCGAUAGGAGAAGCGGGCGCAGUACCACCGGAGAGGCUAACCAUGCACGUGGUCCCCUCAUGCAUGUAUGCAACCCCCAUCCCCAACUCAUGGGGUCCAUGUGCAUGCCACAGACCGGGAGAUAGCUCACCCUCCAUCAGCGAGCCGCAGCUCGAGAAACUGUCAAAAAUUAUCAGAUGCCCUGUCCAGCAGCUGAUCUUCUGGAGGCAGUAGAGUUGGGUCAGAUUCUUGUUCCUCUUCAUCCCCGAGGCAGGUUCCAGGAGCCAAUAAUUAAUCUAGAGGGAGAGGACACGAAUUCCUUAUCGUCUUGCACUCGGCGCAGUGCCGAAUCACCCCCCCGCGUGUGCCAGCGAUGCACCGCAUGAUGGUUGGCAUACACAGGCAUGGGAUUCCUCAUGUUCCUACCUUUGGUCCCUCGCAAGCCCCGUCGCCACGCAGGAGGCAGACGAUGAUGCCUCCGGGGCUCUUUAUAUUUCCACGUGGCACAAAGGUAGAGGCCACGAACCUGACCUUCCACCACAACAUUUCUUUGCAUAGGCUGCACCGUUGACCGGUCAACAUCGGUCGUGUGAACGCACGCUUGCCGUGCUGAAGGAGUUGAACCUGCCGAGGAGCAAGGCCACGACAGCGAGGGGCCAUGCACCAACGCACCAGCAGGGUCAGCGCGCGGGCGGCAUGUCCUCGACCUGCCGCGACGACUUCCAUGAUCUUCGGGCCCGACCGAGUCGUCGUCCUCCGACGGUGGCGGUGACGACACGCUCGACGCUGGCCCGCUCCCCUCGCUUGGGGUCGUCACCGGAGCCUCUUGUAUGAUCUCCACCGAGUACCAAAGGGCGCCCGGGACGCCAUCCUCAUGUCGGACAUCCCAUUGCCCUCGUUCCUCCAUGACUAGGAUACGACGAAAUGGGAUCCACUCAGGGUCAUCGGUGCGCAACUAAACUCUGAAUGCUCACGUGCUGUCCCACAGCAUCGUGUUGUGUGCCACCUUGAUGAUAAUACCCAGCCCUAGAGUAGCGACUCCACCGUGCGCCUGAUCCAAGCAUUUGUUGGGACACACCAGAGUGCCAUAGGCACGAGGAAUGGCAUCAAUAUGGCCGUGGCCUAAGCCUGGCGAAUCCAGGGCCGUAGCGAGAGCACGAACUGGUCUGUCAUGGCGCGGCCACCUGGCACCAAAGUGUUUCACGUGUGUGGUUUCAAUUCAUUUGAAUUAGAUUGUCAUGUGAUGUAUCGAAAAGGAUCCCUAAAAACUUUGAUGCAAUACCUCAAGAGCGGAGUAGUAAUGAAAAAUAAUAGAAAGAGUACAAAUGAAUUUGGUAAUGUGUUGAAAGAAUUUGAAAAUUUAAGGCGUGAGUUGGGAGUACCCCAACAAGGAGGUGCUCAUCACGUAUCUAUCCGGAAUAAUAUGUUCCAACUCGAUGAGCUCCUUUACCAGGAGGAGAUGAUGUGGUUGCAACUUUCUUGUAUGAGUUGGCUGAAAAGUACCGAAGAGCAGUUUAGUGGGCUCAAAAUAAUUGAACUAAGCUUGUUUCUUCACAAAGUGCACUAUAUGUUGUUUGCCAUAACAUGAAAAGUAAUCUUGUAUUUUUUGCAAUCAAUAACAGGAACUGCAGUAUUGAAAAAGGUUUAUCAAGGAUAAUCAACAUGUUAUCGUCCUUGGACAUUUAAGAAUAACAAAGUCUGUUAAGAUAGUAACAUUUGCAACCACAAUACAGACAUUCUCAGAAAUUCCAAUAGGCAUAGUAGUGGAUUUGUCAGCCAUUUGUAAAGAUAUAUCAGUAGGUGUAAGCUUAUUCAAAUCAAGUCUUUUAUAUAAAUAGAAAGACAUAACACUAACACCAGCUCCUAGAUCACUUAAAGUAGUUUUAACAUAACGUCGUUUAAUGGAGCAAGGUAUCGAGAGUAUACAAGGAUCUCCCAACUUCUUAAACACUCCACCAUCCAAAGAACAAUUAGUAAGGAUGAUGAAAAUACCAGCUUCACGUAUCUUUCUUUUAUUAGUGAUAGUAUCUUUCAUAUGUUUAGCAUAAGGAGGCAUUUUCAAGAUAUCUCUCAAACGCGUCUGUAAAAAUAUGGGUCUAAGCAUUUAAAAAAAGUGCUCAAAAUCCUCCUCGUCCUUAUACUUAGAAGGAUUACGAGGAAAGGGCAUGGGUUUUUCAACCCAUGGCUCUAUUUCUAUACAACGUUUCCUAGCAAUAAAAUCUUUCUUAUCAUAACGUUUAUUCUUGGGAUGUGGGUUAUCAAGAUCAUCAACAUGUUCUAUUUUCCACAUCAUUAUUAGGUUCUUUAUCCUUAUCUUGCUGAGCAUCUAGAUGGGCAUCAUUAUUACCAUUAUCACUAGGUGGUUGUUACCUACCACAUUGUGUCUCAGCAUCAGAAAUAGAAACAUCAUUAUGAUUCUGAGAAGAUUUUCUAUAACAAAUUCUUUGGAAGCAUGCAAAAUCCUAUCUUUUAUUUUUAUUUCCUUUUUAUUUUUAGAUGGACUAGGUGCAUCAUCAUUAAUUCUCCGAGAAUCAUAUUCAAUUCUUUGUGGAUGACCUUCGGGAUAAAGAGGUUCCUAGGUCAUUUUACCACCUCUAGUCAUUACUCUAACAUCAUGAUCAUUUUGUUUAUCAUUUGUUUUAGCAAGCAAAUUAUUUUGUGACUUAGCAACGUGUUCUAGUUGAGUGUGAACUAUGGAUGCAUGUUUACCUAGACCUUUAACAUCAUUAGCAAUUCUAAGCAUUAAGUCACUCAAACGAUCAAUCGUCAUGGCAUUUAGUUAUAGUUGAUUUUUAACAUGCAUAUUAAAAUGUUCUAGCUUAAAAAUAUAUUUAUAAAAUUAAUCCAUGCAUUGAUCAAUGGUUUUAUUAUAAGGUAUAUCACCCUCAUCAAAUCUAUGAAGAGAAUUUACUGCUACUACCUGUGUAGGGAGAUUGACUCAUGUAUUUCUUCAAUAGGUGGUAAAUUCUUGACAUCUACAGAUUUAAUAUCUUUUUCUUUCAAUAGGUUGAGAAUAUCAUUUAGUUUGGUAAGAUGUGUCACAACAGUUUCAAGUUCUUAACCAUGAAAAUAUCAGAUUCUACCUAAGAAUUUACUCAGGAUCAAUAGAUAAUUCAUAAUCCCUACCAAUAACACAUAUAGGAGAAGUAGAAAACUUAGGAUCAUAUUUCAUUUUCUCCAUCAUAGAUUUUUCUUUCAGCUUACAAAACAAUUUCCUUAAUCAUCUGCAUCAUUACAAGCAAGAAAGUCUCUAGCUAUUGCCCCAUCCAUAACAUAACCAUCAGGUACGUCACGCAUAGUAAAUCUAGUAGGAGAGCUAGGCAUAAUAGGCGAAUCAUAGUUUUCACCAGUUUCAAAAUUUUCAAUUUAUUAAGAUCUAGCAAUAUGAGCAUCAAGUAAUUCAUUAAGUGGCACAAUUUCAGUUUUAUCUAGCAUAGUUGUAGCAUCAUCAUUAACAUCCUCCAUAGUAGAAGCAGUAUAAAAUUGAAUAACACGUGGAGGUGUCAUAAGUUGGUUCAAAACAGAAGGUGAAUCAAAUGCGGAACUAGAUGGCAGUUCCUUACAUCCCCUUCUCCUAGAGGGUAAGAUCUUAGUAUUAGGGUCUUUAAGUUUCCUCAUCAUGAUAAGUGAGAAUCCUAAAUAAAGUCAGUAAAUAGAGCUAUGCUCCCCUGCAACAGUUCCAGAAAAAUGUCUCGACAAUCCACAACUAUAGGGGAUCACAACAGCCUUUAUGGGUAGUAUUACAUCCUAAUUUAUUGAUUCUACACAAGGAAAGCGAAAAAAUAUUUCUUGAUCAUAGCAGUUAAGUUGUCAAUUGGGAAAAUUCCAUUUUCAACCCAAAACUCGUAGAGGUCGGCAAAACGUACCCUAAAGUUGAUACCCCGAUCGAUUGCAUCGUAAACUAUGCAAUCCCGGUCUAAAUUGGAUUCUCACGUCAUUUGAGGCAUAAAAACGCUGAAGUUGAAGGGGUACGUGUGGCUCAUGAUCCAAGGCACGCAUCCGACUUCCGCCCUAGGCCAACACAUUUCUAUUUUUUGUCUUUUAAAAAAUGUUUUUUCUUGUUAAAAGGAGCAGCUAUUGAACGCAAAGAACAUCGCACAACACAAAGUGAGAGACGUGUGUCGAGCUGACACCAGCGAGGGUGCACAUUUUGUGUUUCCUCUUUGGGCGGUAGGAGGUCAUCACAUGGCUGGAGACACGAGGUGCUGAAAAAAGUGAGAACGCUUGAGGCGAGUCGAUCGCUGGAAAAUGCUAUUUGACGUUGUGUGCGAAGCCGUGUGAGGGCUUCGCAUAGAGCGGGAGAGCGAUCGGGCUGGCCCAGUUAGCAGGGUUGCAGUGCCCGGUUUUGCAAACCUUCUAGAGGUCCGAGACAGUUUUUUACGGUUUUGGGGAACUUCUAGAAGGUUCCGUGAACCGUUUUUUUCCUUUUCAUUUUUUUAUUCUUUUCUCUUUUUUUCUUUCUGCUUUUGUUUCAAAAAUUGUUCUAGAUGUUCAAAAGGUGUUUUUGGAUUUUAAAAAUGUUCUUGAUUAAAAAAACGUUUUGUAUUUUCAAAAAUUGUUCCCGAUUUCUAAAAUUAUUCUUCAGAUUCAAAUGUGUUCUCCUUUUCAAAAUUUUAUUCUUAAAAUUCAAAAAAUGUUCGGGUUUUAAAAAAUUGUUUGCGCUUCCAAAUUUAUUCAGGAUUUUCAAAAUUGGUCUCAAUUUCCAAAUUUUAUCUCAUAAUUCAAAAAUGUUCGUCCUUUAAAAAUUUGUUCAAGCUUCUAAAUUUGUUUGCAGUUUUUCCAAUUUGUUCUCAAGAUUCAAAAAAUGUUUGCGCUUCCGAAAAAUUUCACGUUUUUAAAAAUUGUUUUCAGUUUGAAAAUAUGUUUUUAAAUUCAAAAGAAAUUGUGCUUCAAAUAUCUGUUCGCGCUUUCGAAUUUGUUUGGGGUUUCUCAAAAUUGUUCUCCUUUUAAAAAAAUUGUUCUCAAGAUUCAAAAAAUGUUCAUGCUUUAAAAAAUUGUCCGCGCUUCCAAAUUUGUUCAUAUUUUUUUUAAAUUGUUCUUGAUUUCAAAAUUUGUUCUAAAAAAUUUAAAAGUGUUCGUGCUUUCAAAUUUGUUUGGGGUUUUCAAAAUUUUGUUCUUAAGAUUCAAAAAAAGUUCGUGCUUUAAAAAAUUGUUCGCGCUUCCAAAUUUGUUCACGUCUUCUUAAAUUGUUCUCGGUUUUAAAAUUUAUUCUCAAAAUUCAAAAAAAGUUUGUGCUUUCAAAUUUGUUCACACUUUCAAAUAUGCUCGGGGUUUUUCAAAAAAUUUCUCCCUUUUAAAAUUUUGUUCCUAAGAUUUAUAAAAUGUUUAUGUUUUAAAAGAUUGUUCGUGCUUCCAAAAUUUUCAAGUUCCUUUAAUUUGUUAUUAAAAUUCGAAAAAUAUUUUUUUCUUCAAAUAAAAAAGGUAAAAGGAAAUAAAAAACGAAACAAAAAAGAAAAUAAACAAAAAAGGAAAAUAGUAAAAGAAAAAGAAACAUAACUGGGACGGCCCAUUCGGGGCGCCCCCUGUGCGACGGAGGGCUCCAUGUCGCAAUGAACAAGAGUUCCCUCGAUCACUGGUUGUUCGUCUGCUGCAGACCACAAGGGCGAGCUGCCAAUGUAUGCGCCCUAGCUUGCACGACGGAGUGAAAACCAAAUUUGGUUGACAAUUGCUAAAAACUAUGUCUCAAAUGUUUUAAAAAUUCUAAAAGUUUAUAGUCUAAUGUUUCAUAAAUAUGUAAAUUCUGAAACACAAAACAAAUUUCAUUCGGGAGCUAUGAAGAAAUUCAACAUUAUUGUUAGUAAUUUAACAUUAUGACAUUUUUCUUGUUACCUGAUUUACUUUUACACACUUUUGUCUAAAGAUGAAUGUUUUGUGUAUGACAAGAGUGAAGUAUUUUAGUUUGCGAUAUGCCAAGGCUCUAACAAUUUGCUAGCUCUGCCAUUGUUUACAAAUAUUUGUACGUCUCUAAAAUUUUUAGGAAUACAAUUAAAUGCCUAAUACUGUUAUGAAAACCAAAAUAUUAUUGGAAUUCCAAUUUUUUCAGUCCACACAUUUUAAAAAACUUGAACAAUUUUUGAAAUCCGAAACAUUUUUUUAGCUAUGAACAUUUUUUGAAAACAGAAACGGUUUCCAAAAUUCCCCAAAUAAUAAAUAGAAAAUAGGAACAUAUUUUGAAGUACGUGAACAUAUUAGAAAAUUGAUGACCAUUUUAUCCUUUUGAAAAUCUAGGUCACGAUGUUCUUUUUUUUGUUUUCCAUUUCCUACUAAGAUGACUCCGAUAGUAAGAAAAAGUAAAAAAGAAAAUAUAAAAAGAAAAAGAAAAAUAAUAAAAUAAAAUAAAAUAAGAAGAGAAAGAAAAGGGAGGAAGUGAACAGAACAAGAAAAUGAAGGUCUUGGAUUUGGGUUACCCUCCAUGCUUCUUUUUGUUGUUUUAAAUAAUGAAAAAAUGUGCGCAUUAAAGAAGGGAGAAAAAAAAUGGGCUGGUCACCGAGGAACAGUGCAAAAUGGCAUCAAUCCCGGUCAUAUGUCUACAAUCCUCGUUUGCCAAACGAUUUCAUGGUUUAAUUUAGACCAGGAUUGCAUAGUUGAUGGUGUAAUCGAUCGAAAUUUUGACUUGAGGGUUCAUUUCACCAAACCUCUACGAGUUCUGUGUCGAAAAUGGACUUUUUUCCUUGUUAAUUCAACCACAUGUGGACUCCUUUAUCUGUGGCAAAGUUUUAGUAGCACGACAAAAUAGUAAUAGAAACAAUAACACUAACAGUUUCUAGUGAUUGUAAGAGCAACAACAUGAAUAGUAAGUGAGCGAAGAUCAAUAUGCGAAAAGUAUGGGCAUUGCAUCAGUGAUGGAUAAGUAUAUAGGAUGACAUUCAUCGUGUAUCAAUUACACACUAGAGCGAUACAGAACUAGCCCUGAUUAAUCAAUGUAAUAUAGGCAUGUAUUCCGUAUAUAGUCAUACAUGCUUAUUAUAAGAACUUGCAUGCCAUCUUUUGUUCUACCCUCCCGUGGCAGCGGAGUUCAUAAGGAAAUCUAAGGGAUAUUAAGGUGUCCUUUUAAUAGACAACCGAAACAAAGCAUUAACACAUGGUGAAUACAUGAACUCCUCAAACUACAUUAAUAACCGAAAAGAAUCCCAACUAUUAUCACCUUGGGGUCUACGGAUCAUAACACAUAAUAGGUGCAUACAACUUGCAAGAUAGGAUCCAAAACACCCUCAUAUUUAUAAAACAUAAUAGAUUCAUAUCUUAAAUCAUGGCACCCGGGCUCUAGAGACAAGCAUUAAGCAUAGCAAAGCCGUAGCAACAUCAAUCUGAGAACAUAAUGGAUACUAAGGAUUAGACCCUAUCAAAAUAACUCGAUUACAUAAUAAGUCUCAUCCAAUCCCAUCAUCCUCCAGCAAGCCUACAAAGAAAUUACUCACUCUUGGUGGUGACAAUCAUGGGAUUGUUGAUGGAGAACGAUUAGUGAUGACGACGACGACAAAUCCCCUCUCCGGAGCUCAAAAUGGAUUCCAGAUCAACCCUCCCGAGGAAGAACAUGAGGUGACGGAGGCUCUAUCUCGUAUAACGCGAUGAAAACUUCUCUAUUAUUUUUUCUCUAGGGGAAUAGGAACUUAUAGGCUUGGAGUUAGGGUCAUCAGAGCCACGUGGGACCCACAAGGUAUUAGUGUGCGCCCAGGGGGUGGUCACACCCUAUUGCCUUGUGGGCAACUGGUAGCCUCCCUCCAGUGGAUCUAUGGUGUAGUAUUUUACAUAUUCCCCAAAAAUUCUCAAGAAAGUUUCGUGCAAUUCCGUGAACUUUUAUUUCUACACAAAAAAGAACAUCAUGAUAGUUGAGUUGAAAUCAGCGCCCGCCCAGGUUAGUUUCGUUCAAAUCGUGCUAAUUAGAGUUCAAAAGUAAAGAAAAUGUGUUUUAAAAAAUAGAUAUGUUUGGGGUGUAUCACUUAAAACCACAACAUACCAAACCACUAUGUCGAGGGAACGACUACGAUACAAUCUAGCCUUAUGUUGCAAAAAUAGAAAAAACAUGGCUGAGUCGUUGGGAUGGCCGAUGGAUGGCACAUAUUAUAAAUUCUUGGAAAAGGGGAAUAUAUUAGUAUCGUGAAGAUUCCAAUUAUACCUAGCUUCUGCACCUACAAGAUGUCGCCGAGACAUUCAUGAUGCACACAACCAAAGAUGAAAAUGAUAACAAAGGAAAAACAUAAAGGUCCUGUCAUAUAGAUCAACUCCUCUUAAUAACAACACUCAUACCACCACCAAGUACAACAUUCGAAAAACAUAACAGCUUUCCAAAAGCAAUGCCUUCAAUAAGUGAACAGUGCACAAGUGCCAUCGUUGCCCGAACAAAGAUCUUAGAUUUUCACCCUAGAGAAAGCCCACGCUCUCAAAACAAUUCCUCCACCAAGGUAAUCGUGAGGCACAACCAAUGAAGGCAGGACCUUUGGUUUUCACCCUGAAAGUCAUGACUCGGCAACUCGAGGAGUACCACUGAAGAUGAAAUCCUCCACUCUUGCCGCUCCACUAAUCACUACUCCUUUUGAGAGUCAUCUAACACCCGGUUGUCUCCAUCGCCACCAAGACUUUGCACGUGUAACUGAUCCUCCGAUCUUGGCCACCAUGACCUUCUCCACUGCUGUCUUCACCAUGAAAAUGAAGAAGCCGACAUGUCCCAAGGUGUCAUCGGUCAACAGAGCUUCGCGCCACUCCCUCAGAACCUCGUAGGAUGUAUGGACGUACACGACCGAAAUCUAACCGAUCCAGAUAUCCCGAGCAAAUUCUCCGGCGGCCAUUCCGGAACACGUCGAUGGCUAGAUUGAGGAGGACCGAUCAAGCAUGACAUUGUCGUGAUGUGAGAAAGAACGAGGACCACAAAUGGUACUAGAUGACGGAUCACGAGAUCCGCCAAGCCAGCCAUAAAUCGGCUGACGACCUCUGAUGGAGGAUGAGAUCACUGAUACGUCUCCAACCUAUGUACAAUUUUUGAUGGUUUCAUGCUAUCAUCUUGUCAAACUUUGGAUGUUUUGUAUGCCUUUUAUAUUUUUUUGGGACUAACUUAUUAACUCAGUGCCAAGUGCCAGUUCCAGUUUUUCCGUGUUUUUGACCCUUUUCAGAGGAGGAUUUUAAACGGAGUCGAAACGGAAUAAAACUUCCGAAAAUAUUUUUUCCGGAAUAGAAGAUACGCAGAAAGCUUGGGAACCAAGGCAGGGAGUCCCGGGGGAGGCCACAAGCCCCCAUGGCGCGGACAGGGGGGCCCACGCCUCCCAGGCUUGUGGGCUCCCUGGGCCUCCCCUGCCCUAGCUCCUUCGCCUAUAAAUUCCCUAAAAUCCCUAAAAAAAUCAGGGGAGCCACGAAAAUACUUUUCCGCCGCCGCAAGCUUCUGUCUCUGCAAGAUCCCAUGUGGGGCACGUUCUGGUGCCCUGCCGGAGGGGAGAUUCAGAUACAGAGGGCUUCUUCAUAAACACCAUGACCUCUCCGAUGAUGCGUGAGUAGUUCACCAUAGACCUACGGGUCCAUAGUGUAAUGCCCCAGAGUGUAACUUGCCAUAUUUGGAACCUUCAUGUAUGUGGGUCCAUCAUGUCAUUGAUAUGAGAGUUAUAUUUCAUGUGGUAUUUCAUGUGCAUGUCUUGUUUCCCUUUGCAGGCAUGCAUCCAUUCCAUUCAUGCCUUCUUGUGUUUGUUGUUGUUGUGGUUCCAUGGAUGUGAUAUGUGAUGAUGAUAUGUGAUGUGAUGAAGUGGUGCAUUUGAAAGUGGGGUGCAUCUAUGCUAGUUUUUCAACUAGGUUUCAAACCCCCCCUCUCUAUAUUUCUCAAGCUCAAGUUUUACUUGCUCUAUCCUGAUUCAAAAUGUAGAUCUUUUAGAGUGUUUUGUGGUGGAUGUGGUGCUAGGUUUAUUGUGAUUUUAAACUUUGUUUAAGUGGGGUAAAUAUUCACAAAACAGGUUAUUCAAAUUUUGUUUUGUAAAUAUUUAAAUGCUCCAAAAUUCCUCUUAUCAUUUUAUUUUAUUGGGUCAUAAUUCCCUUAUGACCAGGGGCAUUUUUGUUUUAUUUUAGGAUCAACAGUGUGGCCUUUGUGUUUUAUUUUAUCUCUGUUUUGUUUUCAAAUAGAAAAACCCCAGUAGGUUUUUCUUUUUCUUACCAAGCGCCUCUGAGCGGGCCUCCUCCCCUCGCUGGCCCAACUAAUCCCUCACGUAGCAGCCUUCUCUUGUAGACGUCGUCUCCCUCCUCCCUCCUUUCCGUCAGUUUCUUCAGAGACAGCGAGACAGAGAGGCGACGCCGUGCUCAUGGACGUCGAGGUGGCCUUCCUCGCCCCUCUAUUUAAUCCUUGGCGUCCGCGCAAUGCGCUAGGUUUCCUCCAAGCCGCCGCCACUCCUUUCCCUUCUUCCUCCUCCCUCUCCCUCGUCGACAACAGGUAAGCAAGCCCCUCCUCCGCCAUGGCCGAACCUUGAAGAGCUCGUCGCCGUCGUUGCCGUACCGCUGCUUCCUCUCCAAUCCUUCAGAGAGCACGCGGGACCUCAGGGGAGCCCGUUCCCACAGCCAAUCGUUGCCGAUCUACCCUACUUCCCCUACUUCGACGACGACCUUCUUCCGCUCCGACGACCACCUCCGCAUCGGCUACUUCCUCGACUUCCCCUGCUUCCCCUCCUACAGGCGUGUCUCCUCGACAAGUGGAUGAGCACAAGCUCUCCUCACCCUUCCCCGGUAGCAAGAUCGCGUGUAGGAUCCGUAGCAACGCCAACGUGCAUCUCUCUGUCGCCAACGCUGCCGUGUGUCGUGGAGCAGUAGCUAUAGGCCUUCUCUCGUCGAGCUUAGUGUAGAAAUGGAACCGUGGGAGGUCCUCCUCCCUUCCAGCAAUGAGCCGUGGGCCAAUUUGAAGCGUGUCGCCGACGGUGAGCCUCCCCUGUUCCGGCCACCAUCGGGUAGUAGUGGAUCCAGAGGGGGCUGCUCAAAAGAACCAAGCCCCCUCUCUGUUAAGUGUCGAUCUAGCAGCGCAGUGGCAGUGGGUGUUUUGGCAUAGCGCAUGUCGUGGGUUCGAGUCCCCACAACGCCCUUUUUGUAUUUUGUUUUCGGGCACAGUAGCAGCAGGGGAUAGCAUAUCCUGUAUACUCCCUCUGUUCUGUCGAGCCAAGUGUUGUAGCGCAGUGGUUUGUUGUUGUGUGUUUAACCAGCAGGUUUGGGGUUUGAUCCCCCAAGCGCCCUUUUAUUUUUUUGUCAUUUCCUUUUGCUGUUUCAUAUUGCUUGUUAGUUCUGUUGCUGUGGUAUGCUUGGGCAGCAUGUGUGGUGAUUUUUGCCUCACAACCAUUAGGUUUUACCUUGGUUUUAGUAAGUAUGUGUGUGUCUAGAGUGUUAGUGGUCCAUGUGUAUGUGAGUGUGUGUGGUGCAACUUACAAAUGGUGUUUGCUAGUGUAUGUGUGUAGGUGUAUAUAUGUGUGUGUGUGUGCUUGUGCAUAUGUGCACCAGUGUAGGUGCAUGAGGUAUGUGUGCUUGUGUGGUGCAAGCACCCAAGUGCUUGUGUUGAUGUAGAUGUAAUCAUGCAUGUGUGAGUGUGAGCUCACUAGCAUGCGGAGUUGUGUGUGCAUGUGUGUGUGUGACACCCACAUGCCCAAGGCAUGGUAUUGCCUUAGUGAGCUCUUAUGUUGCAAGCAUGUUUGUGUGUGUUAGUGAUAGUUGUGUGAGUGUAAGUAUGUGUGUGUUUUAGAAUAGCAUGUGUAGGUGCUAGUGAGUGCAUGCUUGUUUGUAUGUGAGAGUGUAUGGUGAUGUGCUAUGGCACACAUACAUGAGGUCUAAACCCUCAUGUCACCAUUGGGGUUGUGAGUGUGUACAAGUGCAUGUGUAGGUGAUGAUCUUCUGAGAAACACAUGUGAUAUGGCACUAUUUGCAUCCAUGUGAUUCCAUGUAGUUUUUCCUUUCAACUUUGUGCCUAGUUGUUCUAUGAAAGUACCUAGGUAUUAUAUAUGUUUUUGGGGUAGAAUCAUCCCAGGAAACCAUUGGUGAAAUCAGAUUUCACUUUGGAAUACUUUCUGGAAAGUCAUUUUUUUGUUUUGAACUAUGUUUAGAGCUUGGUGCCAUGUGAUGUGAUGAGCCCAAGAGGAUGAUUCCUUGAUGUGGCAGUAGUGGGUGAACCCCUCUAUAGCAUGGUGGUUUUGUUUCAUGCUUAGGAGUUUAUAUGUGCAAGUUGUGUCUUGUCAAAGUAGGCAUGUGGCUGAAAUUGUCAGUUAGUGAAAAUCUGUGAUUUUCACUAAGUCUGAGGAACUGCUGUUAUUUUCUUCCCUUGUAGUUGUGGUUGCAAAAGUUCAUGUGUUGGGAACCAGCCCUUGCGAUCAACUAGAGUGUUGGAGCUUUUGUGUUUGUCUAGCACUCUGUCAAUUUCCAUGCACUUUCACUUCCUGUAGAUAUUGUUUUGGGGGCUGUCAAAAUGCUUCAGAGCAUAAACAGCUGGUGAGAAUCUGAGAUUUUCACUAAGUCCCUGAAAUCUGUUAUUUUUGGCCAAGUUAGCACAUGUAUAACUUUUUGUGUGUAACUUCUUUGUAUUAUCUUUUUGUUCAUGCUUGUAGAGCUUUUGAAUAGCUUUUGCCACAUAUCCUGUUUGGCACAUUUGGGUGGCUAUAGGUGAUUUGCAUGUUGCUCUCAAACUGCUAUGUUGCUGUUUAGGACAAAUUGUAUAGUUUUGUUGUUUUGAAGCUUGUGAUAGUAUUGUUGGUGGUGUGGUGAGUUUAUUUGCACCACCCCACCUGUACUUGUUUGUUUGAUCAUGUGGCAACCUCGAAGUACCAGAAGUAUGCCAUUGGAGAGUGCUUGUGGUAGAUUUGACCCGUAGAACUCCAUAUGUUGUUUCGUAGUUUCCGGUUGAUCCGUAGCUCCGUUCUCAACGUUCUUUGUAUGUUUUUGCAUCAUUUUCACGUGAUGGACCUGUUCAUGUCAUCUUCAUGCAUGUAAAGAUAUCUUAGAGUGAAGUUCUGUCUAGAAGUUUGUAUUAUCUUCUCAUGCAUAAGCAAGUGACUAGAAUAGAGAUGCAUGCUACAUUCUCAUCUCAUGCAUCAUGUGUUUGUUGCAUCAUGUGGUGUUGUUGUUCAUUGGAUGCUAUUUUUAUGUUGGGUAGCACCGGGAUCGGAGAGCAAGUACGUGGAUUCGGGAGAGUACGUGCAGGACGAACAAGAGCAGUUCCAAGCUGAAGACAUCACACGCAAGAUGACCAUGACCUUGAUACCGUCUCUAGCUUUGUUAUGCCUAGAUUCACGUUUCCAUCGUCAUAUGCUCACUGCCUACCACCCGAUAUAUUUGCCUCCUGAAAUUGCCAUGAAACCCAAACACUUUCCCCUCCUAGCUAAUAUUGAAUGGCUAAGUAGGCUCGCUCACCUUCUAAUGUUAGUGUUGCUAGUUGCAGGUGCCAGUGUCUCAUGUGAUAACAUGAGUUUUGUUAUCAUUAUGUUCAAAUCUGUUACUUAAUUAAUGCACCUAUAUACUUGGUAAAUGAUGGAAGGCCUAGCUUUUGCCAAGUGAUUUGUUCCGUUAUUGCCGCCUUAGUUUCUGUCUACCGGCGUUUGAUUCCAUAACUGAACGCUCCUAACACAUUCGGGGUUGUUAUGGGGACCCCCUUGAUAAAUCGUGUAGUGUUAAGACUUGUCCGACAGGACCCAACAUUGGUUUUAAUUUGCUAAUCACUUAAUAAUAAUUUGCAUAGGGAAUAGCUACCCCGCGGAAUUAAUCAACAACCCGGGCCAGUGCUCCUCAUGAGUGUUGGUACAAACUAGAGCACCGUGGCGGGCCAUCCCGGGGCAACUCAGGAGAUUUCUCUCGCCACCAUACGCUUCGCUUAUUCGACGUGUCCUGAGACUAAGAUACCCGGCUCUUAUCGGGGUCGUCGACACGUCGGGAGGUCCUACUAGUCUUGUCUUACCUUAGCGAUUUAUAUUCCGUAUAGGAAUCCCGGUGAAGCUUUGGUUCUCCCGGGAGUUGAGGUUUUCCUCUAAGGAAUCUGACGAGAUCACGAGAUUCGUGAUAGAGGAUUACUUUGCGGCCUGUGACCGUUUGUGAUGGACUAGUUGGAGCACCCCUGCAGGGUUUAAUCUUUCGGAAAGCCGUGCCCGCAGUUAUGUGGCAACUUGGAAUAUUUGUUAACUUCCGGUUAUAGAUAACUUGAACUAAUUUUAAUAAAAUUGCCUACCGUGUGCGUAACCGUGACUGUCCCCUUCGAAGACCUCUCUUCGAUCGGGAAAACGGUGGGGUUAUGUUUGACGUAGGUAGGUGUUCACGAUCACUUAGUGAUCACCUAGUCUUCGACCGCUCGCGUAGACCACCACAUCAAUAACUUGUUCUACGUAAGUUAGCCACCAUAAAUGCUUAAGAUGCUGCAGCCUAAAUACUGAACCUUCCUCACCUAAUAACUUGACUAGUUUCAUUGCCGAUGUCAUGGAUUGCUGAGUCCCUGUGGCUCACAGAUUACUUCAACACCCCAACAGGUACAGGUACGCCCGACACAGGUGAUCCCGACGGCACGCAGCUGGCGUGGUAGUACGAUGAGGAGAACGACCGCCUGUACGUGAACUAUCCAGAAGACUGAGGCAUGGUCGUGAUCGUGGGCAAGCAUGCGGGAUAGCAUAGCCUUUUCUGAUGUUAUGUAGUCCGUAGCGGAACUACCUUGUCUGAAUAAAUGUGUGGAUGUAACUCUGAUAUUAUCUAUGGAGAUGGCAAACGAUUCCCUAUUUGUCAUUCUUAAAUUAUCUAUGAGCUAUGUUUAUCUUGCUUGCAAAACGCUUAGAUGCGCUUCUUUCCAUUUUGGGGCCUAGUUCCCUAAAUCACAAAAGACCGCGUCUUAGUCGUUACACAUAGCUACUAGCUAGAUGGCUUCUUCUCUCUCUUGUAUCUUCAGUACAAAGUUCUCCAUGAUCUUCAUGGAGAUCUAUCCAAUGUAAUCUUCUUUUGCGGUGUGUUUGUCGAGAUCCGAUGAAUUGUGGAUUUAUGAUCAGAUUAUCUAUGAAUCUUCUUUGACUUUCUUUUGAUCUCUCUUACGCAUGAUUUCAUAUCCUUGUAAUUCUCUAAGAGUUGUGGGUUUUGUUUGGCCAACUUGAUCUAUGAUUCUUGCAAUGGGAGAAGUGCUUGGUUUUGGGUUCAUACCGUGCGGUGACCUCACCCAGUGACAGAAGGGGUAGCGAGGCACGCAUCAUGUUGUUGCGAUCAAGGGUAAAAAGAUGGGGUUUUCAUCAUUGGUUUGAGUUUAUCCCUCUACAUCAUGUCAUCUUUCUUAAAGCGUUACUCUGUUCGUCAUGAAAUCAAUACACUAGAUGCAUGCGUGAUAGCGGUCGAUGUGUGGAGUAAUAGUAGUAGAUGCAGAAAGUAUCGGUCUACUUGUCUCGGGACGUGAUGCCUAUAUGUAUGAUCAUUGCCUUAGAUAUCGUCAUGACGUUGCGCGGUUCUAUAAAUUGCUCGACAGUAAUUUUUUCACCCACCGUAAUAUUUGCUAUUUUGAGAGAAUCCUCUAGUGAGCACUAUGGCCCCCGGGUCUACUUCACACCAAAUUUUCAGCCUUACUCUUUUACUUUGUUGCACUUUCCGCCUUCAGAUCUCACUUUGCAAUCAAUCUUGAAGGGAUUGACAACCCCUUUAUAGCGUUGGGUGCAAGCUCUUUUGUGUUUGUGCAGGUACUCUCGACUUGACGAGAUUCUCGUACUGGAUUGAUACCUUGGUUCUCAAACUGAGGGAAAUACUUACUGCUCCUGUGCUGCAUCACCCUUUCCUCUUCAAGGGAAAAACCAACGCAAGCCAAGUCUCCGUCAACGUGCCAAUUUCUAGCGCUGUUGUUUGAGAAGUAGCAGAAGGAUUUCUGGCGCCGUUGCCGGGGAGGAUCAAGUCAAGAACUCAUCCAAGUAAGUGUCGCAAACUCAUCUCUUGAAUUUUCUUUUUUGCCUCUCGUUUUCCUCUCCCCCACUUCUGAAAAACAAAAAUUUACAAAAAUAUUUUCCUUUUCGUUCGCUCUUUUCUCUCGCUUGCUUUCUGUCCACCUGUCUGCCUGCUAAGACCUGUAUGGCCCAUCCAAAGGAUUUUGACGCUUAUUAUGCGAGGUUGGAAGAGAUUGAAACUAGUGUUAAAGGCUUCAUGUCUACACAGUUUGAUUACAACAGUCACUUCCGUAGGGAACUAAAGGAGCAAAAUUAUUUUUUGGAUUUUAUGAAUAAAGAAGUUGAUGAUAUGGCCAAAGAAUUCCUUGCGCUAAAUUCUCAGAUUGCUCGUCUUGAAAAAUUGGUAGGCCAGAUUUCUGAUAAACAGGCUACUUUAGUCAAUAAAAUGGUUGCUAAACCUGAAAUUUGGUGCUUGGUGUUAAUAGAAUCACGAAGAUCUUUAAGUGCUUGGUGUGACUCCCAUUGAAUCUUUGUUUUCUUGUGUUAAACCUAAUGAUGAUGGGGCUGGAUAUGAAUCCACUUUGGUUGAAAAACGCCCCAAUGAUUUGUAGUCCAUCUAUCUCGAUGCUAAAAGCAUUCAAAGUGGAGUAGAAGAUAUUAAAACUUUGAGUAGUAAUGAAAUUACUACUUUGGAUCUCAAGGAAUUCAAUUAUGAUAGUUUCUCCUUGAUUGAAUGCAUUUCCUUGAUGUAAUCCAUGCUAACCUUUCCACACGCUUAUAGCCAAAACAAGGCCUUUACCGAUCAUAUCGUCGAAGCUAUGAUAAAAUCUCUUGAAGAGAAACUUGAAUUGGAAGUAUCUAUCCCUAGAAAGCUUCAUGAUGCAUGGGAACCUACUAUCAAAAUCAAAAUCAAAAACUAUGAAUGCAAUGCAUUGUGUGAUUUGGGUGCUAGUGUUUCCGCGAUUCCAAAGUCUUUAUGUGAUGUUCUCGGUUUUAAUGAGAUUGAGAAGUGUUCUCUUAAUUUGCAUCUUGCGGAUUCUACUGUCAAGAAACCCAUGGGAAGGAUCAAUGAUGUUCUUAUUAUUGCAAAUAGGAACUAUGUACCCAUGGAUUUCAUUGUGCUCGACAUUGAUUGCAAUCCUACAUGCCCUAUCAUUCUUGGUAGACCUUUCCUAAGGACUAUCGGUGCUAUGAUCGAUAUGAAGGGAGGGAAUAUUAUUUUUCAAUUUCCUUUAAAGAAGGGCAUGGAGCAUUUUCCUAGAAAGAAAAUAAGAUUGCCUUAUGAAUCCAUGAUGAGGGCUACUUAUGGUUUGAGCACAAAAGACGAUGUACGUGAUUCUAUCGCCUUAUGCCUAGCUAAGGGCGUUAAACAAUAGCGCUUGUUGGGAGGCAACCCAAUGAAUUUAUCUUUUUCUUUCUGUUUUGUUGCGUCCACACCAUCAUAAUUCUGUUAUGAUAUUGUCUUUUGUUUUUCUUUUUGUGUUUGAGCCUAGCAAAACCUUUAUGACUAGUCUUGGUGAUGGUUGUUUGAUCCUGCUGGAAAAAGACAAAAACUUUUCACUCACGAGAUUAAUUUUCAUUUUUACGCAGAAAGAGUUUUUGAGUUGAUUCUUUUUGCUGUUGGUUGAUAUGACUUUUUCCCAGGCAGUCGUAAGUUUUCAGAAGUUUGAGGUACCAGAAGUAUAUGAAGUAUAUAGAUUGCUACAGACUGGUCUAUUUUUGACAAAUUCUGUUUUUGUUGAGUUGGUUGCUUGUUUUGAUGAAAGUAUGGACAGUAUCGGGAGGUACUAGCCAUGGAAAAGUGAGGAUACAGUAAUAUAACACCAAUAUAAAUAGAAAUCAAGAUUGCUACAGUACCUAAGGAGGUGGUAGUUUGUUUUCUUGUGCUAAUGAUAUCACGAGUCUCUGUUUUAGUUUUGUGUUGUGAAGUUUUCAAGUUUUGGGUGAUGUUCUCAUGGAUAAAGGGAUAAAGAGUGGAAAGAGCUCAAGCUUCUGGAUGUCCAAGACAUCCCAAGCCAAAUUCAAGGACACCAAAAAGCCUAAGCUUGGGGAUGCCCCGGGAAGUCAUCCCCUCUUUCUUCUUCAAUCCAUCGGUAACAUUACUUGGAGCUAUAUUUUUAUUCACCACAUGAUAUGUGUUUUGCUUGGAGCGUCUUGUAUUGUAGGAGUCUUUUCUUUUUGUUGUGUCACAAUCAUCCUUGCUGCACACCUUUUUAGAGAGACAUGCACUCAUCGUGAAUUUGCUAGAAUGCUCAUUGUGCUUCACUUAUAUCUUUUGAGCCUAGAUAAUUUUGCUCUAUGUUCUUCACUUAGAUCUUUUAGAGCACGGCGGUGCGUGACUUGGUAGUUGAUUUGUGCUAUAAAAGUAGUCCCAAAGGUGAUAGGUACCCAAAGAGGAUACAAAAACCUCCAUCUUCAUGUGCAUUGAGUAGAAAGAGAAGUUUUGAUUCCUCUCAAUUAGUUUUGAGAUGUGGAUUUGGUAAUAUUAAAGAGUUAUGUUAGUAGGGUGUUGUGAAUUUAGAAAUACUUGUGUUGAAAUUAGUGAUUCCCGUAACAUGCACGUAUGGUGAACCGCUAUGUUAGGAAGUCAGAGCAUAACUGAUCUAUUGAUUGUUAUCCUUUGUGCUGCGGUCGGGAUCGCGCGAUGGUUAACACCUACCAACCCUUCCCAUAGGAGUAUGCGUUUAGCACUUUGUUUCAAUUACUAAUAAAAACUUUCGCAAUAAGUAUGUGACUUCUUGAUGACUAAUGUGAGUCCAUGGUAUAGAUGCCCUUUCACCUUCCACCGUUGCUAGCCUCUCUAGUACCGCGCAAUUUUCGCCGGUGCACGAACCCACCAUAUGCCUUCCUCAAAAUAGCCACCAUACCUACCUACUAUGGCAUUUUUAUAGCCAUUCCAAGAUAUAUUGCCAUGCAACUCCCACCAUUCCGUCUCAUGACUUGUGCCGUCACUCUCAUAUUUCCAUUGCAUGAUCGUAAGAUAGCUAGCGAGAUGUUUCAAUGUCAUACGACAAGCUAGAUCGUUGCACAUCCCGGUACACCGCCGGAGGCAUUUCCUAUAGAGUCAUCAUCGUUCUGAGCUUUGAGCUCUGAGUAAAUAAAAGUGUGAUGAUCAUCAUUAUUUGAGUAUUCUCCCAUGUGAGGAAAUAAUAAAAAAGAGGCCAAAGUUGCCCACAUAAAAAGGCCAAAGAUCCCAAAUAAAAAAAAGAGGCCAAAGUUGCCCACAUAAAAAAAGAGGCCAAAGAGCCCAAAUAAAAAAGAGAGAAAAAGAGAGAAGGGACAAUGGUACUAUCUUUUUCCACACUUGUGCUUUAUAAUAGCACCAUGUUCUUCAUGAUUGAGAGCCUCUUGUUUUGUCACCACCAUAUACUAGUGAGAAUCUUUAUUUUACCACUUGGCUGGUAUAUUCCAAUGAUGGGCUUCCUUAAAAUUGCCCUAGGUCUUCGUGAGCAAGCAAGUUGUAUGCACGCCCACUAGUUCUCCUUUUGAGCUUUCACAUACUUAUAGCUCUCGUGCAUCCUUUGUGUGGCAAUCCCUAAUCAUUCACAUUGAUAUCUAUUAAUGGGCGUCUCCAUAACCCUUUGAUACACCGAGUCAAUGUGACCCUCUCCUCUUUUUUUGUCUCACAACCACCACCACACUCUAUUCCACCUAUAGUGCUAUAUCCAUGGCUCACGCUCAUGUAUUGCGUGAUAGUAGAAAAAGAUUUGAGAAAGGAAGAGUGCAAAAACAACUACUUGGCCAAUACCGGGGUUGUGCAUGAUUAAAUUAGUUGUGUGGGGAUGAUGGAGCAUAGCCAGACUAUAUGAUUUUGUAGGGAUGUUAUUUCGAAAGUUCAUGAUUACCUUGCUAGUUUGCUUGAAGUAUUAUUGUUUUCAUGUCAAUAGCAAACUAUUGUUUUGAAUCUUACGGAUCUGAACAUUCAUGUCACAUGAAAGAAGUUACAAAGUACAAUUAUGUUAGGUAGCAUUCCACAUGAAAAAUUCAGUCUUUAUCACUUCCCUAAUCGAGGACGAGCAGGAGUUAAGCUUGGGGAUGCUUGAUACGUCUCCAACGUAUCUAUAAUUUUUGAUGGUUUCAUGCUAUUAUCUUGUCAAACUUUGGAUGUUUUUUAUGCCUUUUACAUCUUUUUUGGGACUAACUUAUUAACUCAGUGCCAAGUGCGAGUUCCUGUUUUUUCCGUGUUUUUGACCCUUUUCAGAGGAGGAUUUUAAACGGAGUCCAAACGGAAUAAAACUUCUGAAUUUUUUUUUCCGGAACAGAAGAUACGCAUAAAGCUUGGGAACCAAGGCAGGGAGUCCCGAGGGAGGCCACAAGCCCCCAUGGCGCGGCCAAGGGGGCCCGCGCCUCCCAGGCUUGUGGGCUCCCUGGGCCGCCCCUGCCCUAGCUCCUUCGCCUAUAAAUUCCCUAAAAUCCCUAAAAAUCAGGGGAGCCACGAAAAUACUUUUCCGCCGCCGCAAGCUUCUGCCUCUGCAAGAUCCCAUCUGGGGCACGUUCUGGUGCCCUGCCGGAGGGGAGAUUCGGAUACGGAGGGCUUCUUCAUCAACACCAUGACCUCUCCGAUGAUGCGUGAGUAGUUCACCAUAGACCUACGGGUCCAUAGCUAGUAGCUAGAUGGCUUCUUCUCUCUCUUGGAUCUUCAAUACAAAGUUCUCCAUGAUCUUCAUGGAGAUCUAUCCGAUGUAACCUUCUUUUGCGGUGUGUUUGUCGAGAUCCGAUGAAUUGUGGAUUUAUGAUCAUAUAUCUUAUUUGAGUUUCUUCUGAUCUCUCUUAUGCAUGAUUUCAUAUCCUUGUAAUUAUCUUCGAGUUGUGGGUUUUGUUUGGCCAACUUGAUCUAUGAUUCUUGCAAUGGGAGAAGUGCUUGGUUUUGGGUUUAUACGGUGCGGUGACCUCACCCAGUGACAGAAGGGGUAGCGAGGCACGCAUCAUGUCGUUGCCAUCAAGGGUAAAAACAUGGUGUUUUCAUCAUUCGUUUGAGUUUAUCCCUCUACAUCAUGUCAUCUUGCUUAAAGCGUUACACUUUUCGUUUUGAACUCAAUACCCUAGAUGCAUGCUGGAUAGCGGUCGAUGUGUGGAGUAAUAGUAGUAGAUGCCAAAAGUAUCGGUCUACUUGUCUCGGACGUGAUGCCUAUAUGUAUGAUCAUUGCCUUAGAUAUCGUCAUGACUUUGCGCGGUUCUAUCAAUUGCUCGACAGUAAUUUGUUGACCCAUCGUUAUAUUUAAUAUUUUUAGAGAAGCCUCUAGUGAACACUAUGGCCCCCGGGUCUACUUCACACCAUAUUUUCAGCCUUACUCUUUUACUUCGUUGCAGUUUCCGCCUUCAGAUCUCACUUUGCAAUCAAUCUUGAAGGGAUUGACAACCCCUUUAUAGCGUUGGGUGCACGCUAUUUUGUGUUUGCGCAGGUAGUCUGUACUUGACAAGAUUAUCCUACUGGAUUGAUACCUUGGUUCUCAAACUGAGGGAAAUACUUACUGCUCCUGUGGUGCAUCACCCUUUCCUCUUCAAGGGAAAAACCAACGCAAGCCAAGUCUGCGUCAACGUGCCAGUUUCUGGCGCUGUUGUUUGAGAAGUAGCAAUCACCACCGCCAUAAUCCUCGUGAUGCGUGGCAGAACCAGAGAACCUCCAUGAACCGUCGCUGUGACCGAUGGAGAAAGCGGUUUGAAGUGUGAUGAAAGCAGACUACCUUUGUCAGGUUCUGAAGAUAGAGCAUCAUCAGUAUUGAAGAUCGAGUCCACACCGCAGCCUCCUACCUUACCCACCGACUGCAACAGGCCUACCGACGUGCCCCAACCACUAUUGCCCACCAUCACUACCACAAGGGACCAAGAUCAGGCCGCCACCACCUCAGAUUCCGCACAUAUUAUUAUGAAGGAUGGCAAGCCACUUAAGUGUAGACUUUAUGAAAAAACUACUAGCAGUUCGAUAUAAAACAAAACUUUUGUAGUAACAACCUCACAUAUUUCAUAUUUCUCUAUAAUUGUUUUGUAUGGUCAUGAUGCCACAUAUCCUAUUGGUUUAACAAAAUCUUUGCACAUAUCUAUUUCAAGAAAUACAUGUAUAUUUGAUGAAAAAGAAAUACAGUAUAUUUCAGUAUAUCAUCACUAGUUAUGCAAGAAAACUGAAGAUGUUUGUCACAAAAAAGUAGGAAAGUAUUUAUCACAAAUAUGCCAAGUACAUAGAGAAAAUUAAACCACACCCUUCAAGAAAAACUAAACAUUUCAAAUAGGGCGAUUAUAGAUGGAACACAACACAAGAGGCAUACAUACAUAUCAAGUGAUACAUGGGAGAAUCAUUUUUAGUACAUGUGUGUUUGUUUGGUAAGAGAGUCCUAAGGACUAAUACGAUCACCGCUCAACAACCAUUGCUAUUAGAAAAUGCAUCCAGAACUGUACGGAAGGGAAGUCUGGACUAUCUUCAUGGUACAUGACAUGAGAGCUCUGUUCUUUCCUCCAGUUCGAAUUUCAGUUGAGCACAAGCACACGUAGGUGUAACAACAACAUCUUGAUCAAUAAUCUUAGACAUGAACAGUGGAGACCAGUGCAUAUAUGUCGCUCUUCCAUGAUUUACUAAACUCAUUCAAGAACACAUAUAUAUGUUGGGGAAUGUUGCAUGGGAAACAAAAAAUUCCCUACGCACACGAAGACCUAUCAUGGUGAUGUCCAUCUACGAGAGGAGAUUUGGAUCUACGUACCCUUGUAGAUCGCACAGCAAGAAGCGUUAAGAAAUGCGGUUGAUGUAGUGGAACAUCCUCACGUCCCUCGAUCCGCCCCACGAACCGUCCUGCGAUCCAUCCGACGAUCCGUUCCGAUCUAGCGCCGAACGGACGGUACCUCCGUGUUCAGCACACGUAUAGCUCGACGACGUUCGGCCUUCUUGAUCCAGCAAGCAAGAAGGAGAAGUAGAUAAGUUAUCCGGAAGCGUGACGACGCUCCGGUGGUGGUGACGAUCUAAUCAUGCAGGGCUCCGCCCGAGCUCCGCCGAAAUCCAAUCUAGAGGUAAAACUAUGGUGUCUAGAUCUGAUUUGCACGUGGAAAAAGUUGUCUCAAAUCAGCCCAAAAUCACCAAUAUAUAUAGGAGGGAGGGGGAGGAGGCUUUCCUAGAGGGACAAGCCCUCAAGGGUGCGCCGGCCAGGAGGAUAGGAGGAUUCCUACUCCAAUUAGGAUUGGAAAGUGGAGUACUUCUCUUCCUUCCCACCUCCCCUUUUUUCUCUUUGGUUUUUCUUUUAUUGGCGCCAAGGCCUUCUUGGGCUGUCCCAGCAGCCCACUAAGGGCUGGUGCACCACCCUAACGCCAUUGGGCUCCCUCCGGGUGGGUUUCCGCCCUCCCGAUGAACUUCCGGAACCCAUUCGUCACUCCGAGUACAAUGCAGGUAAUGCCCGAAAACCUUCCGGUAACCAAAUGAAACCAACAUAUAUAUCAAUCUUAGUUUCCGGAACAUUCCAGAAACCCUCGUAACGUCCAUGAUCUCGUCCGGGACUCCGGACAACAUUCGGUAACCACACAUAUAACUCAACUAUACUAAAACAUCGCCGAACCUUAAGUGUACAGACCCUGCGGGUUCGAGAACUAUGUAGACAUGCCCCGAGGCACUCCUCGGUCAAUAUCCAAUAGCGGGUCCUGGAUGCCCAUAUUGGAUCCUACAUAUUCUCCAAAGAUUUUAUCGGUUGAACCUUAGUGUCAAGGAUUCAUAUAAUCCCGUAUGUCAUUCCCUUUGGCCUUUGGUAUGUUACUUGCCCGACUUUGCCAGCCUUCUUAUCUACCAUGUAUCUAGGGUAGCUCUACCUCAGUGAUCGUUCCCCUCAUAACAGAAGCACUUAGUCUCGGGUUUGUGUUUAAUCUUGGGUUUUUUCAUUAGAGCAGCAACUGGUUUGUCGUUUCAUGAAGUGUCCCUUCUAGCCCUUGCCCUUCUUGAAACUAGUGGUUUUACUAACCAUCAACAAUUGAUGCUCCUUCUUGAUUUCUACUUUCGCAGUGUCAAACAUUGCGAAUCACUCAAGGACCAUCACAUCUAUCCUUGAUAUGUUAUAGUUCAUCAUGGAGCUCUAGCAGCUUAGUGAUAGUGACUUUGGAGAACCAUCACUAUCUCAUCUGGAAGAUUAACUCCCACUUGAUUCAAGCGAUUGUUGUACUCAGACAAUCUCAGAACAUGCUCAACGAUCUGAGCUUUUCUCCUUUACUUUAUAGGCAAAGAAUAUUGUAGGAGGUGUCAUACCUCUUAACAAGGGCACGAGCAUGAAAUCUCAAUUUCAUCCCUUAGAACAUCUCAUAUAUUCCGCGACAUUUCAAAAGUCUUCGGCGCCUUGCUUCUAAGCUAUUAAGUAUUACUCACUGAACUAUCACGUAGUCAUCAAAAACAUGUAUGUCAGAUGUUCACAACAUCCAUAAACGACGCUCGAGGUGCAGCACACCGAGUGGUGCAUUAAGGAGAUAAACCUUCUACGUAGCAAUGAGGACAAUCCUCAGUUUUACAGACUCAGUCCGUAAAGUUGCUACUAUCAUCUUUCAACUAAAUUUUCCCUAGGAACAUAUAAAAAUAGUAGAGCUAUAGCCGAAGCUACAUCAUAAUUCACAAAGACCUUUUGACUAUGUUCAUGAUAAUUCAUUCAAUUAAUCAUAUUACUUAAGAACCCCCACUCAAAAAGUACAUCUCUCUAGUCAUUUGAGUGGUACAUGAUCCAAAUCCACUAACUCAAGUCCGAUCAUCACGUGAGUUGAGAAUAGUUUCAGUGGUAAGCAUCUCUAUGCUAAUCAUAUCAACUAUACGAUUCAUGCUUGACCUUUCUGUCUCAUGUGUUCCGAGGCCAUGUCUGUACAUGCUAGGCUCGUCAAGCUUAACCCGAGUGUUCCGCGUGUGCAACUGUUUUGCACCCGUUGUAUGUGAACGUUGAGUCUAUCACACCCGAUCAUCACGUGGUGGUCUCGAAAUGAUGAACUGUCGCUACGGUGCACAGUCGGGGAGAACACAAUUUCGUCUUGAAAUUUUAGUGAGAGAUCACCUCAUAAUGCUACUGUCGUUCUAAGCAAAAUAAGGCGCAUAAAAGGAUUAACAUCACAUGCAAUUCAUAAGUGACAUGAUAUGGCCAUCAUCAAGUGCUUCUUGAUCUCCAUCACCAAAGCACCGGCAUGAUCUUCUUGUCACCAGCGCCACACCAUGAUCUCCAUCAUCAUGAUCUCCAUCAUCGUGCCGCCAUAGAGGUUGUCGUGCUAUCUAUGCUAUUACUACUAAAGCUAUGACCUAGCAAUGUAGUAAACACAUCUGCAAACACAAACGUUAGUUUAAAGACAACCCUAUGGCUCCUGCCGGUUGCCGUAGCAUCGACGUGCAAGUCGAUAUUAACUAUUACAACAUGAUCAUCUCAUGCAUCCAAUAUAUCACAUCACAUCAUUGGCCAUAUCAUAUCACAAGCAUAACCUGCAAAAACAAGUCAGACAUCCUCUAAUUUGUUGUUGCAUGUUUUACGUGGCUGCUUUGGGUAUCUAGUAUGAUCACAUCUUAAUUACGCAAAAACCACAAUGGAAAUAUGCAAAUUGCUAUUUAACCUCUCCAAGGACUGCCUCGGUCAAAACCAAUUCAACUAAAGUUGAAGAAACCAACACCCGCCAGUCAUCUUUAUGCAACGAGGUUGCAUGUCAAUAAAUGAAACCAGUCUUUCGUAAGCGUACGAAUAAUGUCGGUCCGGGCCGCUUCAAUCCAACAAUACCGCUGAAUCAAGAAAAGACUAAGGAGGGAAGCAAAUCGAACAUCACCGUCCACAAAACCCUUUUUGUUCUACUCGAGAUAACAUCUAUGCAUGAACCUAGCUCAUGAUGCCACUGUUGGGGAAAGUUGCAUGGGAAACAAAAAAUUUCCUACGCACACGAAGACCUAUCAUGGUGAUGUCCAUCUAUGAGAGGAGAUUUGGAUCUACGUACCCUUGUAGAUCGCAUAAUAGGAAGCGUUAAGAAACGCGGUUGAUGUAGUGGAACGUCCUCACGUCCCUCAAUCCGCCCCACGAAACGUCCCACGAACUGUCCUGCGAUCCGUUCCGAUCGAGCGCCGAACGGACGACACCUUCGCGUUCAGCACACGUACAGCUCGACGAUGAUCUCGACCUUCUUGAUCCAGCAAGCAAGACGGAGAAGUAGAUGAGUUCUUCGGCAGCGUGACGGCACUCCGGUGGUGGUGACGAUCUACUCAUGCACGGCUCCGCCCGAGCUCCGCAGAAAUCCGAUCUAGAGGUAAAACUAUGGUGUCUAGAUCUGAGUUGCACGUGGCAAAAUUUGUCUCAAAUCAGCCCUAAAUCACCACUAUAUAUAGGAGGGAGGGGGAUGAGGCUUUCCUAGAGGGCCAAGCCCUCAAGGGUGAGCCUGCCAGAGGAGAGGAGGAUUCCUAUUCCAAUUAGGAUAGGAAAGUGGAGUCCUUCUCUUCCUUCCCACCUCCCCUUUUCUUCUCUUUGGUUUUUCUUUUCUUGGCGCCAAGGCCUAUUUGGGCUGUCCCACCAGCCCACUAAGGGCUGGUGCGCCACCCUAAAGCCAUUGGGCUCCCUCCGGGUGGGUUACCCCCUCCCGAUGAACUUCCAGAACCCAUUCGUCACUCCUGGUACAAUGCCGGUAAUGCCCGAAAACCUUCCGGUAACCAAAUGAAACCAUCCUAUAUAUCAAUCUUCAUUUCCGGACCAUUCCGGAAACCCUCGUGAUGUCCGUGAUCUCAUACGGUACUCCGAACAACAUUCGGUAACCACACAUAUAACUCAAUUACACUAAAACAUCGCCAAACCUUAAGUGUGCAGACCCUGCGGGUUCGAGAACUAUGUAGACAUGCCCCGAGGCACUCCUCGGUCAAUAUCCAAUAGUGGGACCUGGAUGCCCAUAUUGGAUCCUACAUAUUGUCCGAAGAUUUUAUCGGUUGAACAUCAGUGUCAAGGAUUCAUACAAUCCCGUAUGUCAUUCCCUUUGUCCUUCGGUAUGUUAUUUGCCCGAUACUCAAUCGUCGGUAUCCGCAUAGCUAUUUUAAUGUCGUUACCGGCAAGUCUCUUUACUCGUUUUGUAAUACAAGAUCCCGUGACUUACACUUAGUCACAUUGCUUGCAAGGCUUGUGUGUGAUGUUGUAUUACCGAGUGGGCCCCGAGAUACCUCUUCGUCACACGGAGUGACAAAUCCCAGUCUUGAUCCAUACUAACUCAACGGACACCUUCGGAGAUACCUGUAGAACACCUUUAUAGUCACCCAGUUACGUUGUGACGUUUUAUGCACACAAGGUAUUCCUUCGGUGCCAAUGAGUUAUAUGAUCUCAUGGUCAUAGGAACAAAUACUUGACACGCGGAAAACAAUAGUAAUAAAACGACACGAUCAAUAUGCUACGUUCAUAGUUUGGGUCUUGUCCAUCACAUGAUUCUCCUAAUGAUGUGACCCCGUUAUCAAGUGACAACACUUGUCUAUGGUUAGGAAACCUUGACCAUCUUGGAUCAACGAGCUAGUCAACCAGAGGCUUACUAGGUACAACGUUUUGUCUAUGUAUCCACACAUGUAUUUGAGUUUCCGAUCAAUACAAUUAUAGCAUGGAUAAUAAACGAUUAUCACAAACAAAGAAAUAUAAUAAUAGCUAAUUUAUUAUUUCCUCUAGGGCAUAUUUCCAACAAUAUAAACGGUCUAUUCAUGACCUUAAUCGCAUAUUUGCAGAGAGUAUGCUUAGAGAAACUAUAAUUACUUUUCAUAUUUACAACAAAUGACAAAGAGUUGUCUAAGUACACUGUUGGGAUUCAGACAUAAACAUUUUAACGUAAAUGCUAUAAUUAAAUGGGAGAUUAUUAAUUAAUUUUGAUGUUAAUCUGAAUCUAUUGAAUCAAGAUGUGAUUGGUUAAUUAGGUGAAAGAGAUGCAUAUAUUUCUGCGACACAAUGCAAAAGCACAACUAAAGUUCUAGAGACAUACCACAUCAGAGAAGGAUUCUAACUCCUUAUUUGUACGAUGCUUCAGAUUGUAGAACCAAUAAAUUGGAAGAGGUUACUUCAAAUUGAGGAAAGCGCAGUCUCAUAGAAGUUGUAGCAACAACAAAAUGUAGUUCUCCCAACAAUUGUUAACAUGUUUCACAUAUACUUUGAAGCUGCUCUGGCCGCUGCCACAUUUCUUGAACAAAUGCCACACAAGAAAACCAUGCUAGCAGAGCAGAGAAGUGAAACACGUGACUAAUAAAUGCACGAAGACGAUGCCAACCUCGCGCGUUAGUAUGUUCCGCACAUGAUAAAUCUGUAGGAAUAUAAUGUCACUUUCUUCAAAAAAAAUUAGUAAGACCAAAAGAACUAAUACAAUUGUUUCACUUGAAAAUAAUACUGAUAUUUUAGUUUGAGUAGAAGUAUUGAAAAAAUAGAUAGGAGCUUUGAAAAAUCAUUUGAGUGACACAUAUUGCAAGUGUUACUAAAUUUUAACAUUAUGCCAACAAGCACUUUUUGUUCAGGUAAUUGAACAGGUACAUGAAACUACUUUGUACUCAUGUAUCAGGAAAAUUGGAAGUUGAUACAAGUAGGAAAAAUGAGAAAUGUUAUGAGAUGGCAGCAGAAAAGAAGCGUGAGGAUUCAUAGGUGGCAUUUUUCUACGAUCUCCAUUCAAGACAUUAAAAAACAUGCAAAGCCAACCACAAAUAAUAUUUGUUGAUAGUGAGACACUAGUACCCAUGAUUCAGGAGAGCACGCAUAUCCUAGAAUAGUGCAAUUAGGAUGUAAUGGUUGGCAAUAUCAACCAAUUACAUUUUUUACGAUACCUAAUUGCUCGAAAAUCUAAUGUAAGAAAGCUAUAACAAGUUUUUCAUUGGUUAAUUCUCCUAUGCAUGGACAUAGAAAUAUCCGACAUUUUACCCCAAAAUAUAACUGACUGGAGUUUUCUUCUCUAGCCUCGACGGAUAACCGAGCUAGGGGGGAGCGAUACCAAAGCGCAACACAUGGUGAGGUCCAUUCAGACCAGCCAGACCGCCACUGACGGGACAGCCAAGAUCCAUCGAAGAGUAGAUGGAAGGACACCUACACAGGGUGUGCUCGUCUAUCUAGGUACCAGAUCUGUACUGCCAUCACCCUCGGCGAGGUAGAGGGAUAUGGACGAGAGGGGUAGGUCCAGGAGGAGCUGCUACGCCAUUAGAGCAAGUACAAUAGAGCCGAAUUAGCGGCCGAUAGGAAAUAAAUUAAUGCAUUCUUGCUUAGUUGAAGGAAAUAGAAGAGGAGAGAGAAGGUAAGCACACUCUUAAUUAAGAGCCAGAUCUACCACGUGCUCCUAGGCACUUUUUGAGAGUGAAAGAUGAGUCAUAUAAUAAAAAUGUAGUACACUUUUCUAAUCAACUAUUGUACAUGUUCUCUAUAAGAUAGGAUAUAGAUGACAUGGUAUGGCUUAUAGCCAACAACUGGCUAUACUAUUAACUAUGCUCUUUGGGUCGGAGAGUUUAGGCCUGCGCUACUAUCGGCUGUAGAGGGGAUCGUGUUUGGAGGCGAAGGAUAUCGAAAGCAAAUUAACCUGAAUCGAGGGCCCCAUUUGCUAACUCUACGCAUAGAUUGCUCCAUCAUAAUUUGUACUACCAUCUAUCUUCAAUCUGAGGGGACAUAGUGCUUUUUUCUAUUUUUGCACCGUAUGCUCAACUUUUAUCCUUCCUAGUCGCUCCCCUCUGUAGGCGGUGGUAUUUGGUUGUUCGAUUGGCAGCAUGCCGUUUGCAUACCUUGGACUGCCCAUGGGCAUCAGGGCCGGUCCAUAUAUAUUCACGGCCGUGGGGUGAGACAAUAAAAUGAGGCCCUUGUGGACAAAUAAAAACUAAGAAUAUAUUGUAUUUCGAAAGCAAUUCACUAGAUAACAUAGAUUGAUGGUUCAGAGAACUACAUGAUAAUAAUAGUAUGGAAACAAUAUAGUUCUACGAGUGCUCUUCUAAGUUGCACAAAGAGACUAUCACCCCGCUCUUCUAAGUAUGAAAACCUUGUCAAAACUGAUAGCAACUUGAACCAUUUAUGUUCUUUUCACUUCCUUUUCUCAUAGAUAAACAUUUUUAGAACACAUGUCAUCAAACAAUUACAGAAAAACUGUCACUACAGGGAACAAAAGCACCUGAGUAUGGGCAUAUGCCUUGAUGUUGAAUUGUCGAUGUAGUUUGCAAGAUCUGCAAGGCUGCAACACUCAUUCCCUGUCCCCCCUUCUCAUGCCUGGAUCCAAUGAAGGUUCCAAGAACAGGCGAACAAAAGAGUAGGAACUAGGAAGAGAAGAAUUGAAGAUGUCAGAUGCAACAAUCAGAGGCGGAGAGGCGGGCUAUUUUACAACGAAUCAAAAGAGUACUCGAUUAGGCGAAGGAGGAAGACAUACCAGCUCUCAUGUAGUGAUGCAUCAAACGUCUAUUGAUGAGGAACGUUGAGGAUGCAAUGAAAGGUGAUUGGGGAAGGGAACAACACCAUCGGUAUUCAUUAAUGAAUGCACGGGAGCACCACCUCGAAUUUGGAAGUGCACCGGAGCGGCGGCGCUGUUCUCUAGGAUUGGAGAACUUGGGGGAGGAGCCGAGGAGGCAAGGUGACUGGAGGAGAUCGAUGGAGUGCCGCAGUAGCGUAGCAAACUAGCGAGCAAAUCUUUCAAUCUAGGUGUGCUAGCUACGUGUUGGCCUUAGGUCUUUUCUUCUUGAUAUUUUUCCGGACCUAAAGAAGAAAAUUGUGACAGCCCGAUGCCGACGUUCCAGAAGAUUCCCCUUUUCCUUUCCGUUUCCGUCGUGUGGGUAUUUUUACUUGUUGCAUCAUCAUGUAGUUGCAUCAUCGCAUCAUGCAUGGCAUCUUGCAUCGUCUGUCGCGUGUGGUGUUUGGAGUGUUGUUCUUCGAGUGAUCACCGAGUCGUAGUGCGAUAGUAGCUCCCCCUCUCCCCUCUUAUGUCUUUUUGCGGUUUGCUAAAGUUUUCGUUUUAACCCCGUCAAAAGAUUCAUCUUCUUUUAAAGAAAAAUCAUUUUAUUAAAUGUGGGGGCAACCCCUUGGGUUUUCAUUUUAUUUCUCCUUUUGUUUUCUUUUUAAAACAGAGUCUCAUUUUUCUUUUCUCCUUUAAAAGAGCUUUUAUUUUAUUCUUUAAAUAAAAGAGGUUUUAUUUUAUUCUUCAAAAGGGUUUUAUUUUUAGUUGUUUUAAAAUGCCCAACUAUUUCUUAUAGUUGGGGUGUGGUUUUAAAAGGAGCAAAGGGUUUUUUGUAUUUGUUAAAUCCUUUUUUUGUGUGUGUGUGUAUCUCUGUUUUUUUUAAAAGGAAAAAAACCCCAAAGAGGGAGAGGCCCAGCCGGCCAAGGCCCAGCUGGACCCCCUCCAACCCUAGCGCCAGCCCGUUUCUCCUCGUCCUCCCCUCCAUCCCGCAGCGCCGUCAUCCUCGUCCCGUGCCUCUCUCGUCCUCCCAGCGUUCCUCCCGAUCCCCUCUUCCCCUCUGCCUGAGGAGCCCCCUGCCCACACUAGCGUCGAGCUCCCUCCCCUGCCAUGGCCGCCUCCUCCCGCGAGGAGCCCCUGCCCGCGUGCUCUGCCCCGCGCGCUUCCUCGCCCGGCUCCUCUCGCCGUGCCUCUGCCCGAGGUGCGCCGCGCCUGCAGCUCCCAUGCCCGAAGCCAGCCGGCGGCGUGUGCCCCUCGCCCCGGCCUCGCCUCUUCCUCGCCUCCAGUUCCCUCGCCGUAUCCCCGUGCGCCUCAAGCUCGCCGCAGCCGCCGGUGGCCGCCCAUUCCCCUUGCGUGCCGCCUGCUCCAGGGCCCCGACCUCCUCUGACUGCCGCCGUUGCUGCUUGGAGCUAGUUGUUGCUGUCGUGCCUGCUGCUGCUAGUGCUGCCUGCCUGGCGGGCUACCGUUCCCCGCGAUCCCCUGCCGCUGUGCCGAGCCGCUGCAUGUGCCUGUUGCUGUGCCCGAUGUGCUGCUAUGCUGCCAAGGCAUGUGUAGCACCUUGCUGGUGCUUGUCAUUGCCAAGCUGCUGCCGCUGUAGCUGUUGCUGUGCCGAGCUAUUGUUGUCCAUAGUUGCCGCAUUUUGCUGCUGCUGGUAGAUGCAACUGCUUAGCCGAUGCUGGCUGCACACAGUUGUUGUUGCGGUGCCGAAGCUGCUGCUCUGUUUUGCCCCAUGCUGUUGCCGCUACCUGAUGCCGUUGCUAAGCUGCUACUAAGCUUGCCUGCUGCGCUGUGAUGUUGCUGCCGUGGCUUGCCGAGGUGUUGCUGCCAGCUUGCCUGCUUGCCGUAGUGUGCCGAUGAUAGUUGCUGUUGCCGGUGUUGCUGUGGUGUUGCUGGUUUCCGUCGCUGAAGUUCGCAAGAACCCUCCCCGCCGCCGUGUGUCGUCGACAAGAUCGCGAGUACCACGACGUCCUCGACGACCCCGGAAACGAGUUCGACUUCCUCAACGUUGCCGAAGACCCGUGUUCGUCUACCGACGUCGCCGAAGACCCGUGUUCGUCUACCGACGCCGAAGAUCGUCUACCGACGCAAGAGAACGACUACCGUUGACGAGACCAUGUACGACUACUUCCGCGACGUCCACGACGACCGUUGGUCUCCUUCUCCAAACCGAACCGCUCCGGUAUGCACGCGUCGAAGGUAUAACGUUGAUACGUUGUCGUGUAUCGUGUACAAGUGAUGUAUGUAUAUAUGUAUGUUUGCACCGUAUGUUGCCCGUAGCAUGUUGUCUUCUUUCGUCGUGCCUCGACACAUGGGAACCCGAUAUACGGGAUCACCCCAUCUUAUUUACCAUUCCCGCACGCGUUCCUAGUUCGUUGGCACGUUAUCUCGAUGAGUUAUCGGGAUAGGUACGUUGCCGUGGCAUCGUUUCCGUCUUGUUGCCAUGGUUCCCUCUCGCUCGCCGUGGCGACAUAUGCUUCUUUGUCUUCUUGCCCGUGAUGUUUGAACUUGCAUGCAUGACGCAUUCAUGGCAUAAAAAUCUUGUGUUGCAUGUUCUUGUGCCGUAGCUCCGUUCUUUGUUCCGUGUGUUAACCGUCUAGGAUGCCAUGUAGAAUCAUCGCUUCACCUGUUGCCAUGUUAACCAAUUUAAUAUUUCCGUGUAAAUAAUCGGGAGCGAAUUAAAUAAUUAAACAUGGAGUUUCGUCGAUAUGCAACCCGUUGCAUAUCGAGCUUCACUUAAUGUGUAGUGUUUGAUUGUUGUGAUUGUCAUGCCUUGCAUUAGACCGUUCAUGCAUCAUAUGUGUCUUGCAUCACGUGGUGUAUAUCGUGUAUUGAUGCUUGUUUCCGGUUUCCUCCGUCUCGAUAGAGUUCCGCAAGCGUGUCAGAUGAGAGGACCGUUCGACUUCGUCGGUUCAUCUGCUUCACGGAGGCAUUCUUCUUCCAAGCGGGAUCUCAGGCAAGAUGAUCAUUUCCCUAGAUACCAUUACUAUCAUUGCCAUGCUAGUUUUAUCGCUUCUCUCGUUUAUGUCUACCACAUGUUAAAUAUCAGCCUCUCAACAAAGCCAUGAAACCUUCAACCUGUUCAACCUAGCAAACCACUGAUUGGCUAUGUUACCGCUUGCUUAACCCUGUGUUAGCGUUGCUAGUUGCAGGUGCAGUUGCUUACAUGUGAAAACAUGGGUUCCUUGUCAUAUCACCAUAUUAAAUGCUAUUUAAUUUAUUGCACCUAUAUACUUGGUAAAAGCUGGAAGGCUCGGCCUUUCUAGCCUGGUGUUUUGUUCCACCUUUGCCCCCUUAGUUUCUGGCUACCGGUGUUAUGUUCCAUAAUUGAGCGCUCCUAACUCGACCGGGGUUGUUAUGGGGACCCCCUUGAUAAUUCGUUUUAGAUUAAAGCUGGUAUGGCAGGCCCAACUUUGGUACUACAUUUGCCUAAUCACCUAAUAAACUUGCAUAGGGACUUUCCGGACCCCGAGGAUAGUUUAAUCAACCCCCGGGCUAGUGCUCCUCAUGAGUGUUGGUCCAAAACAGAGCACCGUGCGGGGCCACCGCAAGGAAACUCGAGGUUUGGCACUCGUAUGCUUCGCUUAUCCGUCAUGUCCUGAGAACGAGAUACGCGGCUCCUAUCGGGAUCGUCGACAUGCCGGGCGGCCUUGCUGGAUUAGUUUUACCUUUGACGAGAUAUCUUGUGCAUCGGGAUUCCGAUGAUGCUUUGGGUAAUCUCAGAGUUGAGCUUUUCCACUAGGGAAUCCGACGAGAUCGCGAGCUUCGUGAUUGAGGAUUUCUAUGCGGCUUGUGGUAAUUUGUGAUGGACUAGUUGGAGCACCCCCGCAGGGUUAAAUCUUUUCGGAAAGCCGUGCCCGCGGUUAUGUGUCAACGUGGAAACUUUGUUUAACACUGGUUCUAGAUAACUUGAAGUUAACUUAAUUAAAACAUGCCAACUGUGUGCGUAACCGUGACUGUCUCUUUCGUGAGUUCUUACUCCGAUCGAGGACACGGUGGGGUUAUGUCUGACGUAGGUAGGUGUUCAGGAUCAUUCAUUUGAUCAUCAGUAGACACGUCCAUUAUGCGUAGAUCUUCCCUCUCUUAUUUCUUGUACUCGUAAGUUUAGCCACCAAAUAUAUGCUUAGCCGCUGCUGCAACCUCACCACUUAACCAUACCUCACCCAUUAAGCUUUGCUAGUCUUGAUACCUUUGGAAAUGAGAUUGCUGAGUCCGCUGUGGCUCACAGAUUACUACAACACCAGUUGCAGGUGCAGGUAAAGGUUACUUGAUGCGAGCGCGUUGAUUGAUCAUUUGGAGUUGCUUCUUCUUCUUCUUCUUCAUCGAUCUAGGAUGGGUUCCAGGCCGGCAGCCUGGGAUAGCAAGGAUGGAUGUUGUUCUUAUUUUUUUCGUUUGUUUUCGUCCGUAGUCGGACCCUGCUCUUACUCUUGAUGAUUAUGUAAUGUACUGAUGUGACUCUGAUGUAGCUUGUGGCGAGUGUAAGCCAACUCUAUAUAUAUCUCUUCUUUUCAGUACAUGUACUUGUAACGAUAUCCAUUCUUGCGACACGACGAGAUGCGCUUCUAUCCCUGACGAGGCCCUCGUGCCAAAUUGAGGAUAGGGUCGCAUCUUGGGCGUGACAAAAAUAUCCUAAUAUGUAUACUGUACUACUACCUGGGAUGGGGCCCCUACCUCCCAGGGGCCUAGGACGGUCGCCCCGUUGCCCCGACUUAUGGGCCGGCCCUGAUGGGCAUUACCGGCCCCAUGGUACCUGGUCCUAUGCCUAUUGUUGCGUCAGUGGACAGAAGGAUAUCCACUGCUUCCGUGUUGCUGGACUACGACUCAAAGUUGACAUUGGUAAAUUCAGUAAAUUACCUCACUCACAAUUUAUGUCAUGUGCUCUAUCAGAAUUCCUUCCAAGAUACUAACAGAACAUUUUGACAAACUCGAGAGAUGCUGCUUCUGGGCCAAGAGGUGUGAAGAUAGUGUCAAAUUAGCUUUGCUCGCCUCGUGGAGCUUAGUUUGCCUACCAAAAAACAAAUAGGGUUUGGAUAUCAUAGAUGUGCGUGUGCAAAACCAGGGGUUGCUUCUGAAACAAUUGCCCAACUUCUAUAAUAGUUUGGACAAACCAUGGAUAAAACUAAUUGGGUUAGUGUAUUUUGAGAAUAGAGUAGCAAACAUAUGUGUGGUCUCUUUGGGUGGCGAGAGAUCUACACAGGGGCCACAAGGGUGGAACUGGGUGAUGGUAGCAUGGCAUUAUUUUGGAGAGACCUAUGACAUGAUGAGGUUCUUUCGGACAGCCAACCUCGCCUUUGCUCUCUCGCUAGGUAUGAGGACGUCUUGGUUUAGGAUCUACUAACAACCAACUACUUGAGUCAAAAUUUCCAAUUGUCGCUCACUAUUUAGGCUAGAGAAGAGUUGAUUAAUCUAGUGAUUGCUGGAGAUGCUUGUGGGGACUGAAUGAAUUUGAAUCCAAUAAAUACUACAUUGUUUUUGAGACAUGGUAGCGCAUGAGGCCUUCGAGUGGGUCUGGAAGUCAAAAUGUACUAACAAAUGGAGACUGUUCGCCUGGUUGUUAGUGCCUACCGACUAAAUGUCCGAAGCAUGCUAAAGAGAAGGAACUUGUUGAUACAUGACAACAACUAUGUGUGCUUGUUGUGUGAUAAUUCAUGAGUGAUAUUUUUACACUCAUUUCAACCUUGUUUAAACCGAGGUAUUUCAUUGAAAGCGAAAUAUUUGCUUAAAUAUUGCCACUAAUGACUAAUGAAUGCAAAGAAUCCCACAAAUUCUCUCUUUGAUAUUUUUCCGUGAGAAAUGGGCUAAAAAGGGAAGAAAUCAUGUGGGAGUAAGGAAAUGAAGGAAAGUGGAGAAGAAAUAAGUCACCAGGACGCACCAGAAGGCCGCGAGAGCCAAAUGUGGCGUUCCAUGUGAGCGCACGUGUUUGCGUGAGCGGUCGUUUGGCGUCGAAACCGAGGCAGGUCAUCCACAUAAAUCAAUUUUAAUUAAGGAGAACCCAUCGAAAUGUCAACAAAACAAGCAGAAGGAGUGUGUCGAGCACAUCGAGAACCUCUUCAUCACCAUCUCCAUCCACCAAUCCUAGCCAUCUCCGCCACUAUAGUGAUGUCUCAUCUAGUUCAUACUUGUAAUCGUGCAUCACACAAGGCAUCAAUUUUAAGACAUAUUGCAAUCAAUCAAUCCCAAGAUGUGUUCUUCAAUGAUUUCUUAUCGCUAUAUGAUAUCCAUGUGUGAGUAGUUUGGUAAGGUAUGGGGUGAGGAAUGAGCCUAGCAAGCCCAUGUAUUUUGUGAAGGGAUCAAUGGAAGUAUUUAACAUAACGUCUCGUAUGUGUGAAAUAAAAUUGUUUUGUGAAGUGUCUCAUGUCUUGUCUGCGAUCUUCAUCCCUCCAGACAUCGAGGAUCAUAGAGAUCGAGCACCACAUAGGCUAGGAGAAAGGGGACCGUGAAGUGUUAUAUCAAACACUAGUGAUGGUAAGGUUUAGUAGGGUAACAUGGAUCAUACAUAACCUUGGGGAUUCAUGAGGUGUAGUCAUUAAACACCCAAUACUUUUGUCUGAUACUAUUAUCUUAAUUAUUGGGGCAACUCCGCAAGAUGGAUAUGGCCGUCGUUAGGACAACUGAUUCUUGACGCGGGACUCAUGCCGGUCAAGAUGUAAUUUGGACACAUCCCCCACUCCGAACGAAGUAGGAAAUUCUUGUGGGUGACUUCCCAAGCACAAACAAAUAUCAAUUUGAUCCCAACACCAAUACAUGGCUGUAAGUAUUAAGACCUCAUCCCCAUACCUUCCUUCUAUAAUAAGUGUUGAAUCACAAUUUUAUUGUUGAUCUGGUCAACAGACGGAUUAAGACUUUCGUAAAAAACUAGCUAGAGACCAUUGAUUCAAGGGAGUAUUCCUCUCGUGGGUUCGAUACCCAGGGUAACCUCUCGGGAAAUAAGUGCGGGAUACUACUACUUGUAAACUGCAUUGUGUUUCCCCGAACAGGAGGGGAGAUGCACCAUAGUAGAGAUAAGUAUUUCCCUCAGCAAGAACCAAGGUUAUCAAACCAACAGGAGAAUCACGGAAACCCCCUUCGACAACACCUACACAUACACAACCAAACACUUGCGCCCAACACAGGCAAGAGGGUUGUCAAGUACCUUGAACUCAUUACUUGCAAGGAUUAAAUACUGGUAGAUAGAUAAGAGAAAUAAAAGUAAAUAACAAUAAAUAAAUUGCAACACGGUAAAUGAGUUUUAGUAAAUAUAUUUGAGUAGACACGAGAGACAUUGUUUUCGCUAGAGGCUUCCCUCUUGAACAUAGCAUACGGUGAGUUAUGACAUGUUAUUCACGACAAUGAUCAUGUAUAUAGGCAUCACAUACAAAAACAAUUAGUCCGACUCCUCCCUGCAUCAACUACUAUUACUCCACUCAUCGACCGUUAUCCAGCAUGCAUCUAGAGUAUUAAGUAUGAAACAGAGUAAUGCUUAGAGCAAGGUGACAUGAUGUAGACAAAGUAAGACAACCAAUAUGUUCAUACCCCGUCAUUUUAUCAUUAAUGUCAACAAUACAAUACGUGCUAUGCCAUUUUCUGUCAAUAGGAUUGAGCAAUGCAAGAUUGAACCCAUCACAAGGCACCACUCCCACUAAAGAUAAAUCAGUCUAGUUGGCCAAACCAAACUGAUAGAUUGGAGAGAAAUACAAAGCUAUAACAAUCAUGCAUAAAAGAAUUCAGAGAUGACUUAAUAAAAUUCAUGAAUAAUCUGAUCAAUAAACCACAGUUCAUUGGAUCACAACAAACACACCGUAAAUUAGGAUUACAUUGGAUAGAUCACCGCAGGAAUCACAAUUAACUUUUUAAUUGAAGAUUAACAAGAGAAAAAGUUAAAUUGUGAUUCCUGCGGUGAUCUAUCCAAUUGAAGAUUAACAAGCUAUCUACGUAUUAGCUAUAGACUCGUAGGUCUAUGGCGGACUACUCACACGUCAUCAUGGAGGCAACAAGGUUGAUGUAGAUGGCCUCCAUGACCGAUUCCCCCCGGCAGGGCACCAAAAAAGGACUCCAGAUGGCCUCCCAUCGGAACAGAAGCUUGCGGUGGUAGAAAAAGUGUUUUGGGUGGCUCCGUGUUGGUUUCCCGAUUUUAGAAGAUUUAUGGGGGUGAAAUUAGGUUAGAUGAAGCCACGAAGGGCCCAUAAGGCAUUAAGGUGUGCCAUGUUGCCUUGCCGUGUCCUUGUGUGUCCCGCGGCAUCCUUUUGAAGCUUCUAGGAUCUCUUUUGUCAGGAAAAAAAUUGUCAAUUUUUUUCAAAAAAUUUGGACUUCGUUUGGUACUGAUUUCCUGGAAAAACAAAAAGAAGCAAAAAAUAGCAACUGGCACUUGGCACUGGGUUAAUAGGUUAGUUCCUAAAAUGUAAAAAAAUAGGAAAUAAUUGCAUAUAAAGAAUCCAAGAUUUAUAAUAUAAUAGAAUGGAACAAUAAAAAACUAUUGAUACGUUGGAGGCGUAUAAACUUCCCCAAGCUUAAUUAUGUUCGUUCUCGAGUAGGUGAAUGAUAAACAUAAAAUUUUGGAUGCGACAUGCUACCCAACAUGUAAUAUCUUUUAGAUAUCAUCUUGAGAAACGAUGAACUAAUUUAUAUCGCCAUAGUAAUAUCCAUAAACAUAAACAACAUAAUAAUUCAUAUUAAAAAUAUGUACAAUCCUUAAAGAAUGUUAUUCCCUACUCAUUUUCUCAUAUUAGCAUGGCAUGACUCCAUCUUCACCGCAUAAAUAUUAACAUGAGCACCUCGUUGUCAGGUAAGGCAAUUGGAUCGUACUUCUACCAUGGUUCAACAUUUUUAACCUCACUCAAUACAUGAGCGUGAACCAUGGAUAUGGCAUAUGGGUGGAAUAGAAUAUGGUGGUAGAGAUCAAAACGGGUCAAAGUGGAAUGGAAGUCUCGCAUCAACUAGGUGUACCAACGGGCUAUGAAUAUGCCCAUCAAUCAAUAUCAAUCGAGGAGUAGGGAUUCCCAUGCAUCGGAUGCACUAGAGCUAUAAGUGUAUGAAAGCUCAACGGAAGCUAAGUCGGCGUGCAUCCAACUUGCUUGCGCAUGAAGACCUCAGGCAUUCGAGGAAGACCGUCAUCAGAAUAUACAAGACAAGUUCUAUAACGAAAAAUUCCCACUAGCAUAUGGAAAUGACAACUUAGGGGACUAUCUAUAUGAAGAACAAGGUGCUACCUCUAAGCACAAGUGUGGAAAAAAGAUAGUAGCAUUGCGCCUUCUCUCUUUUCUCUUCUUUUUUUCUUUUCCUUUUAUUUUUUCUAUUUUUACUUUAUUUCUUUUUUCAUUUUCAUUUUUUUAUUUUUUGCCCGGAGUUUCAUCACUACUUGUGGGGGAAUCCAUCAUCCUUUCCUCACUCGGACAUCACUAAUAAUGAUGAUCAUCACACUUUUAUUUCCUUACGACUCAAUAUGAAAAACUACUAUACAUGAUGAAUCUGUAUGAUUGCCUCUCACAGUGUACCAUGAUGUGCAAUGAUCUAGCAUAACAUGUAGAUAAUGAUGAAUGGUAGCUAUGCCACUAUGUCAGCUACAUGAUCAUGCAAAGCAACAUGAUAAUGAACACACAAGUCAUGUGAGAGAACACUGGAAGUUGCACGGCAAUAUAUCUCGGAAUGGCUAUGGAAAUGCCAUGAUAGGUAGGUAUGUUGGCUAUUUUAAGGAAGGUAUAGGAUGGCUUAUGUGUGAUAGAGCCUAUCAUAUGACGUGGUUUGGAUGCACCGGCGAAGGUUGCACCGAUCCUAUAGGUGAUAAUGGGCAAUGCAUGGUAAUGAAGAGGCUAGCAAUUAUGGAAAGGUGAGAGUGCACAUAUCCAUGGAUUCACAUUAGUCAUAAACAACUCAUAUACUUAUUGCAAAACCUAUUAGCUCUAUAAAAGAAAAGUACUACCACAUACCCCUAGGGAGGAGGUUGGUAGGAGUUAACCAUCGCGCGCCUCCAACCCGGGCAAUACGAUAGGAUUUCAAUGAGGUAUACGAAUGCUCACACAUCAUCAUCAUGUCAUAACAAAUAUUUAGAUGAGUAACUAAUAACAUGCUUUAAUACAAGUAUUUCUACUACAAAAUGAUCAUGUACUCAUGUCCUUUAAUAUUACUACAUCAAUGUAAUUUACCUACGGUUCUCUUCUAUGGUGAGAUACCUGAAACUUUUUAUUAUAUCCCCCUUGAAUACAUAUCAUUUGUGGACUAGUCUUAUAAUACAUGCAUAUUACCAUUACUAUUUCUUAGACUCUGAUGCGUCCAUUUUACAUAAGGAUUUCCUAUCGACAUUUAUAUUAUUAUUGGUCAUUAUUCCACUUUAUGAUACAAUUCUUAUGCAUUUUCUCUCUGAAUUUAUGACGUACAUUACAAAUAGGAAAAUUACCGAAACUGGUAUUCUGGACCUGAAACCCAAGAAAAAGGCUGAAAAUUCACUAGACUCCAAAUGACCUGAAACUUCACGAGGAAUAUUUGUGGAAUAUAUGUGAAUUUAUGGAGCAAUAAUAUACCAGAGAGGGUCCAAGUGUAGGUGCCAGGCCAAUAGGGGCGCCCACCCCCUAGGUGCGCCCUGAUGGCUUAGGACCACCUCGCAGGUGCCCUGUCCCUCCCUCUUCCGCUAUAACAUGUCUUUUGACCUAGAAAAAAAGGACAAGAUACUUUCGAGAUGAAGCAUCGUUGUCUCGAGGCGAAAACCUGGGCAGAGGCCCUUUUGCUCUUCGGGAGAGCAAUUAUGCCUGGGAAACUUCCCUCCAGGAGGGGAAAAUGAUGCCCUCGUCAUCACCAAUACUUCCUUCUUCGUGGGAUGCCCAAUAUCCAUAAACAUCUUCACCAGCACCAUCUCAUCUCAAACCCUAGUUCAUCUCUUGUACUCAAUGUUUGUCUCAAAACCUCAGAUUAUUGGUACCUGUGGGUUACUAGUAGUGUUGAUUACAUCUUCUAGUUGAUGCUAGUUAAUUUACUUGGUGGAAGAUAAUAUGUUUAUAUCCUUAUUCAUAAUUAUUACACCUAUGAUCUUGGACAUGGUGAUGAUUUGUGAGUAGUUACUUUUGUUCCCGAUGACAUGAGAGAAGUCUUGUUAUAAGUAAUCAUGUGAAGUUGGUAUUCGUUUGGUAUUUUGAUGAUAUGUAUGUUGUUGCUUCUCAUAGUGUUCUUGCGUGAACGUCAACUACACGACACUUCACCAUGUUAUGAGCCUAAGGGAAUACAGUUUGGAGUAAUAAGUAGAUGAUGGGUUGCUAGAGUGACCCAACCUUAAACCCUAGUUUAUGCAUUAUUUCAUAAGGGGCUGAUUUGGAUCCACAUGUUUCGUGCUAUGGUUAGAUUUAUCCUAAUUUUUUUCCCGUACUUUUGAAUGCUUGCAAGAGGGGGUAAUAAUAAGUAGGUUGCUUGUUCAAGUAAGAACAUCACCUUAGCAUCGGUCCACCAACUUAUUAAAUUAUCAAAAUAAUGAACGUGAAUCAACUAAACAUGAUGAACAUGAGUAGACGGGAAUUCCCAUGUGUCCCCGGGAGCAGUUUUCUUCAUAUAAGAGUACUUUAAGGCUCGUCCAUUGCUACAAAAAGGAUUGGGAUAUUUUUAUUCACACUUUCUAUUAUUGUUACUUGUCACUUGUUACAAUUUAUCUUGCUACAAAACUAUCUAUCAAUGUUACUUACAACAUUUGCAAAGAAUACCUUGCUGAAAACUGCAAAUCAUUUCCUUCUGCUCCUCAUUGGGUUUGACACUCUUACUUAUAGAAAGGACUAUGAUUGAUCCCCUAUACUUCUGGGUCAUCAAGACUAUUUUCUGACGCCGUUGUCGGGAAGUGAAACGCCUUUGGUAUGUGGACUUUUGUAGGGAAACAUUUUUGGUACAUGCUGAAAUUUACUGUUGCUUGUUUCUAUGGAUAGUAAUCCUUUGAAGGGAGCGUUCGGGGUAUGUUCACCCCAAACAGAAGUAGAAAAUAUUUCCCCUCAACCUACUAAACUUUUUGGAAACAUUUAUUAUGAGAUUCAUUUGGGUAUGUUAGAGAAAGUGCUUGAAAAUCCUUAUGUAGAAGACAGUACAACUCAUCCUAAUUACCACUUGAUAUAUGGUGAGGAGAUUUGCGGAUUAUUUAAGCUUGCAGGUUUAUCCGAGGACAAAGUAAAUAAGAAGUUUUUCCCUUUAUAUUUGGAGGGAAAAUCUUUCAUGUGGUACAGGAUAUUGCAUAAUAUUGGAUCAUGGUACUAGAAUCGCUUGAAGCUGGAAUUUCAUAAGAAGUUUUACCCUAUGCAUCUAGUUCAUCGUGAUCGGAACUACAUAUAUAAUCUCUGGACUCAUGAAGGAUAAAGAUUUUCCCAAGCUUGGGAGAGGCUUAAAUCUAUGAUGCACACAUUCCUAAACCGUGAGAUCUCAAGAGAAAUUAUUAUACAAAACUUUUAUGCUCGACUUUCUCAUGAUGAUCAAUUGAUACUCGAUUCUUCUUCCAUUGGUUCCUACAUGAAGAGAACUAUUGAAUUAAAAUGGGAUCUUUUGGAAAGAAUUAAAUGCAACUCUGAAGACUGGGAACUCAACAAAGGUAACAAGUAAAGUAUACAGCUUGAGUUUGAUUGUGUCAAAUAUUUUAUGGAAACUGAUACUUUUCAUAAGUUUAGCAACAAAUAUGGACUUGACUCCGAUAUAGUAGCUUCUUUGGGUGAAUCAUUUGAUACUCAUGUUGAUCUCCCUAAGUAGAAGUAUUUUAAAUUUCAUCGACCUAUUGAAAAACUAUUGUAGGACCCAUUAAAGUUAAAGAAAAAAAUUUGUUUAGCAUGUUGAUCCACUUGUGCCUACUGCUUAUAUUGAUAAACCACCUUUUCCCUAUAGGAUUAAGGAACAUGUUAAAGCUGCAACUAUAGUUCACAAAAUUCAUAUUAGGACACCUAAACAUUCUGAACAAAUAAAAGUGGAACCUAAUAUUGCUAUGGUUAAAUAUCCCCUAGUUGAUAAUAUUGAUGGUGAUGUUAUUUACUUCAGUGAUGAAGCUGCUAGAAUUACAAAACCUGUUAGAAACAAACAUGACGAGUUAGAUAAAAAUAAACCACUUGUUGAAAAGCGUGUUGUUUGUGUAAAUAUUGGAGAUCAUUGUUAUCAUGGCUUAUGUGGCAUAUGUGCUAGUUUUAGUGCUAUACCAAUUACCUUAUGUAAGGAAAUUAUAAAUGGCAUAGCACCCUCGAAGAUUGAAGAUAUUGAUAUCACUAUUAAACUUGCAAACAGAGACACCAUUUCACCCCUUGGGAUUGUUAUAGAUGCUGAAGUAUUGUGUGGAAAAAUUAAGUACCAAACUGAUUUUUAGUACUUGGUUCACAACAAGAUAACUUUUGUCCCAUUAUACUUGGUAGACCUUUCUUGAAUAUAGUUAAUGCUGAAAUUAAUUGUGUUACCGAGAAGGUUAAAGUAAGCUUUGGUGAUGUGUCUCAUGAAUUUAAUUUCUCUAAGUUUGGUAGACAACCACACUAGGAAGAAUUAUCUAAUAAAUAUGAAAUUAUGGGUCUUACUUCUAUUGAUGUGCCUCCUAUUAUUCCAUUGGAACAAUAGUUGUUAGGCCAUGAGAAAUGAGAUAUAUGAUAUUUUGUUUAGACAAAAACCUAUUUUUAAAAACAACUUGCAUGUUGACAUCUUAGGGGAUCCUCCUUCACCUAAGCGAGAUCCCGUAUUUGAACAAAAUAAAUUACCUUAUACUUUGAAAUAUGCUUAUCUUGAUGAAAACUAGAUAUAUCAUGUUAUUAUUAGUGCUAACCUUUCAGAGCGUGAAGAAAAGAUAUUAAUUAAAACUAUGAAAGAGCACAUAACUUAUGUCAGUGCAGAUGUGCACUCGAUCACCUAUGGGAGAUUUGGCCCCUUGUGGUUCGCGGGGAGGUCAUGUGACACAAAGAGCAGAAACUACAAGGCGGCACGAUGAUGAGACUUGGGUGUUUUUACCCAGGUCCGGGCCGCUAUGAAGCGUAAAACCCUAUUCCUGCCUUGGUGGAUUGAUUGAUGAAGAUGAAGUUCAGACGGAGUUUUGCCCCAGCAAGGGUUUCCGCUGAGAGCUAUCACAUACGUACAAGUACACUUGGUUGGCUCUAAUCCCCCGAGGAUCCGAAACUACCUAGUGUAGAAUCUUAAAGUGUUCGAAUCCUUUGCUAGGUUGCCUCGACCUCCUUUUAUAGCUCAAGGGGCGUCCACAGUGGCAAACAAUCAUGAUCAGAUAGCUAACAAUGCUAUCAUACCUUACUCUGGUACUUAAGACAAAGCACCAUAAAUGUAGCCUUAGGUGGCGAGCGGGGGUGCGUUCCCGGCAAGCUCCUGCCACCUAUGAGCUGGCCGUGGCUUUGGGGUCUUGACACACCUCUGGACGGGUGUCAAUAUGUUGUAAUCUGUCUUUCGACAAGCUACCAUGUAUUUAGCGAGAGAUGCCUAGCCAUCUGGGAGCUCGAUGCCUCAUCUACAAGUGACUGGUGUAGCGAUGAGGUGGAGUGGUGGCAGGUUGGCCUCCACUUGCCGGGGAGGCGCCUUGCUUGGUCCUAGUGAGGAUGCAUGUGCCUUCUCCCCUCGCAGGUGGUGGGGGUUCAUGGAAUGUCUUGGGCUCUUUGUGUAGGUCUUGCCGGCGCCGUCAGCCAUCGGGGGCCGCAUCUGCCGGAGUCUUGGUCUUCUUGAUGCGCUCCGACCUCUCGUAGAGCAACUUCUCUGGCCCUGGCCAAGUCUUGAGGAAGUGGUAGCAUCCCCGACAACUUUAGGCCGCCGUGUUGGUGGCUUGUUGUCCGUGCACAAAUCAGGGGGAAAUAUACACCCCUGUUUUUGUACCACGACAGAAGCCCCUCAGCCUGAGCCAUACGUAUCGCUAGGCAUGUUGGGUUAUGCUCCCUUAAUGCACGAACACGUGUUGAGAAACUGCCAUCCCUCCCACGACCCAUGUCCAAUCCACGCAUUUAGCACACAUCGUGGGGGUCGUCGAAUGAUACGUCCAUUUCGCAUGAUGCUUUCAUGUUGAUAUUUAUUGCUUUAUGGGAUGUUAUAUUACUUUGUGGUACCAUAUUUAUGCCUUUUCUCUCUUAUUUUGCAAGGUUUAUUUGAACAGGGAGAAUUCAGGCAGCUGGAAUUCUGGCCUGGAAAAAGAGCAAAUCUUAGUCCACUAUUCUGCACAUCUCGAAAUGCCCUGAAAAGUUACGUGGAUUUUAUUGGGAUUAUAUAAAAAAUACUAGGCGAAAGAAGUACCGGAGGGGGGCUGCCAGGGCGCCACAAGCCCUGCCGCCGACACCCCCUGGUGGCCGAGUGGGGGCUUGUGGGCUCCCUAACGGCCCACUAGCCCCCCUCUUUUGCUAUAUGAAGGGUUUUGGUCCAGAAAAAAUCAUUUGGGAGCUUUUUCGUGGUUUCGCCGCCGCCACGAGGCGGAACUUGAGCAGAUCCAAUCUAGAGCUCCAGUAGGACGAUCCUGCCGAGGAAACUUCCCUCCCGGAGGGGGAAAUCGUCGCCAUCGUCAUCACCAACACUACUCUCAUCGGAGGGGAGGCAUCUUCAUCGACAUCUUCAUCAGCACCAUCUCCUCUCCAAUCCCUAGUUCAUCUCUUGUAACCAAUCUUCGUAUCGCAACUCCGAUUGGUACUUGUCAGAUUGCUAGUAGUGUUGAUUACUCUUUGUAGUUGAUGCUAGUUGGAUUACUUGGUGGAAGAGUUUAUGUUCAGAUCCUUGAUGCAAUUAAUUACACCUCUGAUCAUGAUUAUGAUUAUGCUUUGUGAGUAGUUACUUUUGUUCCUAAGGACAUGGGAUAAGUCAUGCUGAUAAUAGUCAUGUGAAUUUGAUAUUCGUUCGGUAUUUUGAUAUGCUGUAUGUUGUCUUUUCCUCUAGUGGUGUUAUGUGAACGUAGACUACAUAACACUUCACCAUAAUUGGGCCUAGAGGAAGGCAUUGGGGAGUAGUAAGUAGAUGAUGGGUUGCUGGAGUGACAGAAGCUUAAACCCCAGUCUAUGUGUUGCUUCGUAAGGCGCUGAUUUGGAUCCACUAGUUUAACGCUAUGGUUAGACGUUGUCUUAAUUCUUCUUUUGUAGUUGAGGAUGCUUGCGAGAGAGGUUAAUCAUAAGUGGGAUGCUUGUCCAAGUAAGGGCAGUACCAAGGCGCCGGUCCACCCACAUAUCAAACUAUCAAAGUAACGAACGCGAAUCAUAUGAACAUGAUGAAACUAGCAUGAUAGAAAUUCCCGUGUGUCCUCGGGAGCGUUUUUCCUCCUAUAAGACUUUGUUCAGGCUUGUCCCUUGCUACAAAAGGGAUUGGGCCACUUGCUGCACCUUUGCUACUACUUGUUACUUGUUACUUUUUGCUUGCCACAUUUCAUCUCACUACACAAUCACUUGUUACCGCUACUUUCAGUGCUUGUAGUUAUUACCUUGCUGAAAUCCGUUUAUCAGAGCCUUCUGCUCCUCGUUGGGUUCGACAGUCUUACUUAUCGAAAGGAUUACGAUUGAUCCCCUAUACUUGUGGGUCAUCACCGAACAGUAGCCGUUGGGGAGUAAAAAGGAGAACCGCCCGUACAUAAACGACAAUUCCUCUUAGCGAUAGCGAAGAGAGAGCCCCCAAUGCGUGGCCCCAUACAUAAGGAAGGGAUCCUGCAAAGGAAGCACUGCUCAUUCACAUCUGCCUCUCCACCUUUCACUCCCCAGCCCUCCUCCAGCAAAGAAACCGCCUCCGCCGUCGCCGUUCCUUCUACGGGCAUUGCCGAAUCUCCCACUAUUCAAGGGAGAUGGGGAAGAAGACGACCAACGUGAAGGGAAGGAAGACAGCUGAGGCGAAGGAGCGGAUUGAGAAGAAGAGGAGAACAGAGGAAGCGGAGAAGCGAUGGUGGGAAGAUGUUGUUUUAUUCCCGCCGAAGCUGGAUGGCAAUACCCUGAUUUCAAGGUACAUAUAUAUGUGGGGGAGAGAUACCAAGCGGCACGGGGAGCCUGAAGUUCUGCGAGACGCGCCCAAGGAGAUGACGCCAUCACAUUCGUACCGCUUCUUCUGCGCGUACUUCUACUGUGACCUCUCUCCCCCUUCUCUGAUUUUUCUUCUGUGCCAUGAUGGUGACGUAUGGAUUUCACCUCCUGGAUUUCAUGCCCCAUGCAAUGGCGUGCAUGGCGAUCUUUGCCCACCUGUGCGAGCACUUUGUCAGGGUCGCACCUAAUGUAGAUUUGUUCACGCACUUCUUCACCCCCAGAUAGAGGACAAGAAUGACCGCUCGAGUAACGUUAGCUGGAUUCCCCGGGCCAAGGAGGAUUGGGGAUAUCUCCGUGGCCAAUAUCAUGGGAAGUGGGAAGAGUGGAGGGACGAUUGGUGUUGGAUCAAGGACGCCAAUUGCCCGAGUUCUGUUCCGCAUGAACUGCUUGUGUCUCGUGCAAUAAUGAUUCGAGCAUCUUGGUCCUUUCCGAUGGAAAGCUUCGCCCAACGCUGAACAGGGUUACCCACAUCAAAGCUGCCGCACUCACCAUUCAACACAUAGGGGCCGACUUCCUUCGGCGCUGCAUUGCACCACUUGAGAAGAGGGACAUGUUCUCCUGGGAGUUUAACGGCCCCGCCGAUUGGAUGCGGCUGUACCUAGGCACCAUCAGCAACCUGAAGUCGAUUAUCGUGGAUGGUUGUGCUAUCAGCUAUUUGGUGACACGGGGCCGUUCCAUCUACCAGCAGGGGUCGUCCCCUUCCAUAUUAAUUCAAUCAAGAACCAAAUUCUGCAGUGGAUGCCAGAUUGCAAUGCUUCCGGGCUUAAGCCGGAUUGGGCUUUGCUCUCCCUGGAAGACAACAUGGUGUGGCUCUCUAACUUGGAGGAAAGAGCCUUCAAGCAAGACAAGAACCUGACCACGCCCACUAGAUAUGCAGAGAUGGCUUACAUUUCCGCCCGAGUCGCGAAGGAUUGACGGGACAAGGCCGCCAAGGGAACGUCCUCCAGGAACGAAGGAGAGGGAAAAUCUGGAGAGAGUGACUCUUCCGGAGAGGAACACGAGAAUCUUCCCCAACAGCUGCUGUCGGGUUGGAGUCUUGCGGGGGUGGAGCUCUCCAGGUCGACAUCGAGGUGGAGAAGGCAAGAAGGCCGGUAGUGGAGGAAGAGGGGCUCGUGAUAGCCCCCAAGCUCCGGAACCAGGGUGGCACCCUCGCCAGCGCGGCCGCCGGGAAGCGGCAGCUCCGGCGCCUCCGCAGGCCCUUCCGAAGACAAAGAAGACAACCUCCAAGGCAAGGGGACGCAAGGGAGCAUGUCGUCAAUCCCCUCGUCUUUCCUAAGCCAAGGUCUCUCCUAUCAGGAGACAGAGGGUCAUGGCGGUGGACCCCAACCCCCCAUCAAGCACAACUUCUACUCCUGGCUCGCCUCUGCCCGAAGCUCCAACUCUGUUGCGGAACCCCGCACCAACAACUCUGAAGAGGGGCAGAUAAACUCUGCCGCCCGCAUCAUAUGAGGUAGGAUCCAUGCUCAUGGCUUCAGAGUAAGUUCUUCAUAUACCAGCAUCAACAAAGCCCUUCAUUCUCGAUGCUUUGACAUAUUUGGUUGGAUUAUUCAUUUGACAUGGAUGAGGACGAGGAGCUCCUUGCGCAUAGGGGCAACUGGGCCAAAUCUUCGGCAGGGUAGGAUGCCGUGGCAGAUACGGUCCUCGUGGGAGGUGCAAGGGAGAAUCCCACGUCUAUCCCCCAGGCCAUCCUCCACUAUAAGAUCCAGGCGCAAUCCCCGUCUCGUGGCAGGGACGAAGAGAGGCAUCCUCCUACCCCCGAUAAGGAGAAAUGAGAUGUUCAUUAGGGAGAGGCCCGCCAGGAGGGGCCUUCCCUUCAAGACCUCUCUGCAACCGUUGCCAUGGGGAGAGAUUCUGUGGCAAGGGCCCCCGUCGAAGGGCCUGUGUGUGUAGAAUCUGCCAUCGAAGAAGCAACAAUGAUCCGCCCCUGACAGUUCAUCUUGCGGGGAAAACAAAUAUUCCUCUUAGGCAGACCCCAUCGAGUAUCCUACUUGCCUAUGACUUGAUUUCUUCUGUCCCGUUGCUUUCCUUUGAUAAAUUUCUUGAUUGUUAUCUUGUUGUUCAUUGCCUUUGAUUACAACGUUGCCAUCUGAAGAAUCAGAGCUGUUGGAAGAGGUGGCUGGCAUCGGGAAGGCUGCCGCUGCGGAGGUGGAGAAUAUUGCUGCCGCAGAGGGCGACGGUCGGUUGACGGGAAACUUUAGGAGUCCCUUGAAAUAACAUCAUCAAACCCUGGCAGCUCGACUGUCCUGUCCUUAGUUAUUAAGGGGAAGACCCCCCUUCAGGCUCUGGGACCCAUGCCUCCGCGGUAUCCUCUGCCAUCAUCUCUGCCAUCAUCUUCAGACUACCUAGCGAUGGUUACCGCUUCUUUGUGCCCUCCAACUUCGGACGUGUCCUUCUCAGCUGGCACAAACAUCGUUGAAGGGAUCGAGCAGGCGCUGGCACCACUGUGUCAGAAAGUUGGACGGUUUUAUGAUGUUUCAAGGAUUUGGCUUUCUUGGAAUCCAUGGCUGCCGGAAUCAAGGACAUGCACAACAGGUACAAUCUCAAGGUGCAGGCAGCCAAAGAGCAAUGUGAGCAGGAGGACCUUGUGGGCAAGUAGUUCGGGUGCAAGGGAAACGAACUGCGAGAGCCGUACAACCAGGAGGUCCAUUCCUUCAGGAGGCAGCAUGAGAUGCUAUCCAUGGCCAAGGAAGACGUUGUAGCCUCGGAGACCAGCCUGGUGGAGCACAAAGCACGUCUGUACGCCAGGGAGGCGGAAAUCAUCUGCCGAGAAGAGGCCCUCAAACUUUCCCUUCAUAAUAAGGAAGUGGAGAUGGAGGUUCGCCUCUCACAAUGCACCAAGGAGCUAGAGGAUGGCCACAAAGCUACUCUUGCCACGCUCUCCUCAACUUCCGCUGCCCAUUAGAAAGAGGUGUCCAACGAGCUUGCUUCCACGGCUACCGUGAUGCCCUCUUCAUGGUCUUGAGAAACCUCGCCUUCUUCCACCCGGAGAUUGACCUCUCCGAUGGUUUCAAGAAGCUGCCGCCGGGAACUGAUGUCUCUGGUGCCGCGGACAACGCAAACCCUUUUGCCCACAGGGUCUUUGCGGUCUCAAGGGUCCAAGGAGGCCGCCAGAAUUAGUUUCGACCCACUCCUGUCGUCGUGUCGUCCUGUACUCAAGACAUGAUAUGUAUCUCGUAUCAGUCCAUGCACUAUCUUUGCUUUGUUGAACUAAUGUAUUUAUGUAAUUGCAUGCCAUCCCUCUUUGCUUUCCCUCUGGUAUUCAUAUGGCUAAUUCCUUUGCAUGCUCUGGUUGCCCACCAACAACGUGUUGCCGAAAUUUCCUUGAGGAAUGGGUCCUUAGUAUCUUGCAGGCGAGGACACGUUGCCGACGAGUUUUUCCUCAUGGGUCUUUGAUGCUGCUGUGGGUUUUGUUGAGAAGGCUCGAAACAAAAUAGGGAGCGAUCAGGAAGACAUUAGGUUCCAUUACGCAUCAGGUUCACCAUACAAACAAACCUUUGUCGCAAAGGAGACUAUACGAAAUGUAAGCUUUUUAGCGAAAAACCAACGGUCGCAUCGACUUAUCUUUCAUUCGGGCUUCAUUUUUAUCUUGGCGCUCAUCCGCCCACAUCCGCCGUUCCCUCCUCUCUCCAUCGGUGCUUCUUCCCUUCGCGCUCCCCAGUAUUUGCAUGGCGUAAACCAUGGCUAUUCUGAGAGGAAGAGAAGGACAAAAAAAGAGUAAAUGGAGGUACUUGGGAGAAAUGUUAGUUAUAAGUGUGGUGUGCGGCAAGAGCUUGCCGUGCCAAUGCAAGCGUUCACAACUUAGCCGGAAGGGAAGGAAUAGCAAAUAUGCUCGGCCGAACCUUCCUUCUUCCCCUUCUUGCUCGACGGUCCUGUAACUAUCACAAGGCUGGAAACGAUGGGUAAUGGGACCUCGCUAUGGCCCGUUCGCCGGGGUCGCUGACCAAUGGAUCGUCUCGAGCGUUUGGCCUGGGAUUUACCAACGUGGGGAAAAUGCAAGACCUAACGGCAUGCAAGCUCGUCGACAACGGCGGCUCCGCCUUCGCGCAAACCCGACCACAGGUGGGGAAGGGGAAGAUAUGAAGGAUAUAGCCGUGUACCUUUUCUUCUUCCCCACCCAUUCAAUCGCAACCACACCUCCUCAUGGUUUAGGUGGGUUUGCUCAAUGAUUGUGAUAGGGAUGGCACCAUGGUCUACUGAUACAUCUCCAACGUCUCGGUAAUUUAUGAAGUAUUCAUGCCAUAUUUGCCUAUGUUUAAAAUAACUUUAUAUUGUAUGGAUGCACAUUAUAUGAUUUAUUUAGAACUAACCCGGAUUGACGCUGUUUUCAGCAGAAUUACCAUGGUGUUGUUUUUUGUGCAGAAAAUGAAAGUUCUCGGAAUCGGCUAAAACUAUUUUAUGAUUUUUUCUGGAACAUAUGAGCAAUGUUGGAGCGAAGAAUCACCAGAGGAGGGCUACCACGGAGGCACAAGACAACAGGGCGCGGCCUGGGCCUUAGCCACGCCCUGAUGGCUUGUGGGGCCCACAUGGCUCCGUUGCGCGUGAUUCCAACGCUAGAAUAAUCAUAUAAAUCCCAGAAACCCUAGAAGUAAAGAGAGAACUUCCGCUCCACCGCUACAACUCCCUGUAUCACUGAAAAACUUAUCUGGAGCGAUUCCAGUACCCUGCCGGAAAGGGAAAAGCAUCACCGGUGGCCAUCUUCAUCAUCCUGGCCGAGGCCAGGACGAGGAGGGAGUAGUUCACCCUCGAGGCUGAGGGUAUAUACGAGUAGCUAUGUGUUCAAUCUCUCUCUCUCUCUCUCUCUCUCUCUCUCUCGUGUUCUUGAGAUGGCACAAUCUCAAGAACAUGGGCUUUGUUAAUAUAGUUGGAUCAUAUGAUAUAUUUCCCUUACCAUCUAGUUGUGAUGAAUUGAGUCUUUUCCUUUAAGAUCUCGUCAUGUUGGAUUGAACAUAUUGGUAUGACACCACUUGAUGUAAGUCUUGCAUGGCAUACCCGUAGUGACAUUGGAGUAUUCUAUUGGUUCACUUGAUAUAUGUUGAGGCAUCAACUUACGGGUUCAAGUUACCUUGGGGAUCUAUGCAUAGGGGCUGAUUGCAAAUUUUCCUACCAUGUUCUCUGAUAGAAAUCUUGGGGUGCUCCUUGCACAUUCUUUGUGUUGCAUUGAAUAUGACAGCUCUGAAAUUGUUUGAUGCAUGUCGCAUAAUUUACCCAUGGAUACUUGAGGUGACAUUGGAGUAUCUAGGAGACAUUAGGGUCGAUUGAUAUGUAUCAUUGGUGUUAUUUUAGUACAAACUCUUAGAUAGAUCAAACGUAAAGGAUAGCUUGAUGUUAUCUUAGUACGAACUCUUGAAUAGAUUGAACGAAAAUUAUAGCUCGAUGUUAUCUUAGUACGAACUCUUGAAUAGAUUGAUCGGAAAUAAUAAGUUUGAGGUGGUUCUACUACGUGCACCAAUUUCAUCUUAUUGUUCUCCACUAGAUAGGAACUUUGGAGUGAUUCUUGUUGCACGUUGAGGGAUCCAAUUAUGUUAGCAUUGUUGAGAGAUUGCACUAGUGGAAGUAUGUACCGUAGGCCUUAUUUACAAGCAUUAAUACAACAUUUUCCUAGCUAUUUUUAUAUUUUCAGAUUACAAAAACCUAUAUCUACCAUCCGUAUUGCACUUGUAUCACCAUCUCAGCGUCUAACUAGUGCACAUAUACAAUUUACCAUUGUAUUGGGUGUGUUGGGGACACAAGAGAUAUCUUGUAUUUGAUUGUAGGGUUUCUUGAGAGAGACCAUCUUCAUCCUACACCUCCCACGGAUUGAUAAACCUUAGGUCAUCCACUUGAGGGAAAAAUGCUACUGUCCUACAGAACUCUGCGCUUGAAGGCCCAACACGAGUCUAUAAGAAUAAACUUGUGUAGUAGACAUCAAGAUAUUUUCUGGCGCUGUUGCCAUGGAGGUGAGUGCUUGAAGGUAUAUCUUUAGACAUUGCAAUUAAAUAUUUUAAUUUCUUGCUUUUCACUAGUUUUUUUUAAGAAAAAUAGAGUCUACGUUGCCUAAAUGGUGUCCUCGUUUUAAAGUCUUCCAUGAAAAUGUUAGUUUGGAUUUUUUUUUCUCAUGUGAGUUCCUUGAAAGAUGAGCAUGAUUGCACUGUUGUUAGUACAUGUUCUCUUAAUAUCCAUGAUGCUAAUGAUGAUUGCACUAGUCAUGAUAAAAAGGUUUCCUAUAAGCAUGACAAUUUUUGUGGAGUGAAUAAAAUUUGCAAAGACAUGCCAUAUAGGGACGAUAGAUUUUACAAGAAGCAUAAACAUGAUCAAACUAAUUGGUGGCUUAAAGUGAUAGAUGAAAGUGCCUAAUGAACCAGAAGUAUAGGGGAUCUAUCAUAGUCCUUAAGAUAAGUAAGAGUGUCGAACCCAACGAGGAGCAGAAGGAUCUGACAAGUGGUUUUCAGCAAGGUAAUAUGUGCAAGCACUGAAAUUAUGGGUAACAAGUGAUUGUAUGGUGAGGUGAUUCUUAGCAAGCAACAAGUAACAAAAGUAGCAACGGUGCAGCAAAGUGGACCAAUCCCUUUUGUAGCAAGGGACAAGCCUGCACAAAGUCUUAUAGGAGGAAAAACACUGCCGAGAACACACGGGAAUUUCUGUCAUGCUAGUUUUCAUCAUGUUCAUAUGAUUCGCGUUCGUUACUUUGAUAGUUUGAUAUGUGGGUGGACCGACGCUUGGAUACUUCCCUUACUUGGACAAGCAUCCCACUUAUGAUUAACCCCUCUCGCAAGCAUCUGCAACUAUGAAAG